AAAAAAAAAAAAAAAAAAAGGUCAGAAGUUAAUACUCUCAAUGAUAUAAGAUUGAAAAAAGACAAUAGUGAGAUUAUAGAAAAAUAACUAGAUUGCCAAAAAAUUUGUGACAACAUUUUUGGCCCUUCAUUUCAGUCCCCCCUCCCCUCCCCCUCCCCCUCCCCUCGGAUAUGAAGCAACAAAGUAGAUUUAGAUUCUAAAACUACAAAUAAUUCUUACCUAACAAUUAAACGCAUCCGCAAGGCACAAUUGCAUUCUAAUGAUUCCAAUGCAAAAUAAUUCAAAACCGUCAACGCAUCAAACAUGAAAAAAAAAAAAAAACUUGUUACCUGCUCAAUAAGUGAAGCGGCAUGUGAGGUCGAUGGGCGACCAUAGCCGUGGGUGACGAUAGCCGAUGACAGAUGAUUAUGGAACUACAACCCACACUCACAUCGUCACAUUCCACACAUUAGUUACUAUUUACCAACUCAAAGAAUUGACGAGAAGAUCAAAUGUCAAAACAAAGGUAUCUUACAAUUAAAAAAAAAUGUCAAAGAUAUAUAACCCCAAACUGCAACUUUUCUUCCAAUUGAAAACUUCAUCACAGUCCUACAAUUUUUACAGGCUUUUGAUGUACAUAUUAUUAUCAAUUACGAUGAUAAUUGGAUUAUUAUAUUUAUGUUUUAUGUAGUUUAGGAGCUUUUGUAAUCUCCAAGAACAAUUUAAAGCCAUUAAACAACACAGAGAAGAAAAUAAAUAAACACAUGACAAAAGAAAAUAAAGUUAGGCAUGUUCUUCAUCAAAAUUUAAAUUUAUUGCAUGUGAAUCCAAAAAAUUAAGAGAAAUAAUUUCAGUCCAUAUGAAUCAAAGAUAUUCCUAAGUUUGAUAAGGCUGGUGAUGAAACCUUUCAACCUUAAGGAAGAUAUCAUACUCUUUCAACCUUAAGAGAGAUUAACAAUAAAAAUUAUGGAUUAUUCUCUUCUAUGUAGCCACCCCAUUGUUCUUUAAGAAUCUCUACAAUUGUGACAACAGUAGUGAUUGGUGUAAUAUUACAAAGAAGGAUUUGAGCCAACAAAACCAAAAAUUCAUCAGAUAUAUAUCCAUAAGCGUUAAAAUAAACUACAAGAAACAAAACAAUACCCAUUCCCAAGGCAGAAAGCUCAACUUCAUUAUGAUGUUGAAUGUACCUCUGAAUUUAGGGCAAACAACGAUUAGAAUCCUCAAUAAAAAAAACAACCAAAACAACAUAGAAACUGAAAUUAAUUAAACGAUUCUCCAGGUAGUACAAUUACUCAAAUCAUAAACAAAACGAGAAUCAAUAAAAGUAUAACUUUGAAGUCACUUAAACUAAUAUCAAUAAAAACUCAUAAGAGUAACAAAAACUAAUCCAAUUCUCCUAAAUUACUCAACUUGCCAAAUAUCACCAAAGAAGAUUUUGCACGCAAAUCAAUUCACAAGUAAACAAAAACAAAAAGUUUGUAGACCAUAACUCUUAGAAAGCUCUUAAAUGACAAGAAUUAAAAGGUAGGAAUUGAUAAUUCAGGUAAUGGAAAACAACAAAAGAAUCACACAAACAUUUUAUAGGAAUAAGUUAGACUUAUUGAAUUGGUGAGAUUUUCAUAAGUUGUAGCCAAAUUUGUCCAGUCACGCAAAUAAGAAGCUGCACCAAUUUUGGGUUGGAACGUAAACAUUUAUUAGCAAAUUAAGUUAGCAUGCAUAGUCAAGUAAAACUUUAGGCUGCUUAUAUUCUAGACUAAUACUAACAUUUUUAAAAAAACUAAAUACAACAAGGUAUUGUCGUGAAUAACGAAAUUACAACAAGUCUUGUCACUAACCAAAUAUCAAUCACUUGCUUGGUACGUAGCUGCAUUAUUAUAGUAGAUCGAUCGGUUAUUGGUGUAAAACCUAAUAAAAACACAAUAAUGUUUUAUUUGAGUUUGCCGGAAGAAUAUGAAUUAAAUAAGUUUGUUAGUUGAAUCUUUCUUCUACAUAAUGUGUUGAUUUAUCCCUAGAGUAAGAAAAGUAAAUGAUGAAAGAGAUAAAUUGAAAAAACUUGUAAUUAUAUAGAAAAGAAAUGUGAAUCGUGGAAGUUUAGAAAAAGAGUAUAACAUACAAGGAAGGAAUUUAAUUCUUGGAUGUACCACUAUAGUAUGCAAGAUCACAUUUCUCCAUUUAUAAUUUCCAAAACGAUGUUGAAAAAGAUCUACAAUAGCUUAGUAUAAACCAUCAAUUAAUGUAUAUCUUCCUUUUUACUUUAAUUUGAGUUAUUUGAAUUGAAAUCACAUACCAGAAAAUCAAGAAAAAAUUUAUAAGAAAGCAUGCCAAGUUUAUGCAUAAAAUAGCAGCACAAAGUAUCCUAUGAAAGCCACACUCACCUUAUUCUGCUUUUGUCAAAAUUCCAAACAUUAGUUCGCCAUGUAACAAUAACUUUCUCGUAUUCUUCACAACUUUUUCCUCCAUUUUCUCAUAUUCUUCACAACUUUUUCCUCCAUUUUCUCAUAUUCUUCACAUUAGCUUCCCUGUUAUACCGAGUUACCAGGGAAACUACGAUAUGCUUUAAAAGAAAAAUCAUAAGAUUUACUAUAGUCUAUAGUCCAAAUCCAAUCUAAUUGUAUAUUGGGUUCUCCUCAUUCUCAUCCACGAACAUUCUGAUAUUUCUGUUUAAGUUCCAAGUUUCAAAUUCUUAUAACAUGAAAUGGCUCAUCUAUCAAAACAAACAUUAGAGUUUGACUCCUCUCCAAAAAAUAAAAUCCAUAGUCAUCUUAAGCUUCUACUUGUCUCUGGUUGCUUUGCGAAUUAUCUAACUUUAAUGGUAAAACCAUCUUGCUACUUGUUCUUUGCUUCUAGUAAUAAGUUCCCCAAAUCCAACCAUUGUCAUAAUUUACUAAAGAAACAUGAUAGUUCACUUUAUCACUAAUACUUCAUAUUUGAGUAUGCUGACAUGCGCUAUCCAAUCAACUUUUGGUUUGAUAUUGAGAAAUGGACAACAAUGUCGUUUUUGAAAAUGUGGAUGAUUAAUGUCGGUUUCAAAUCGACAUUAAUGAGAGAGGUUUAAUGUCGUUUUAAAACCGACAUUAAUCAUCCGCAUUUUCAAAAACAAUAUUUAUGUCCAUUUCUCUCUUUAAUUUAUUAACUAUUAUUAUUUUUUAUUAUUUUUAAUUUUACAAAAAGUCAAAAAACAUAUCUCUUAUACUCUUUCUCAAAAUCCCCUUCCUUCACGAUUUUUCUUCAUCUCUCAAAAUCUCACACUACUUUUCUCUCUCUUCUCCAAACACAAACAGUGGCCGCUGCCGCCACCAUAGUGUACCUCGUACCCAGCCCGUGCCCGCCGUGCUAAUCCCUCACCACCACCUUGUCUUUUUCACGAUAUGCUCGUCACCACUAAGUUGAAACCCUCGUCUCUUUCACACUUGCCUCUUCACCAACGUCAGAAUCCUCAUCUCUUUCACGUUAUGCUCGCCACCACCGUUGAUUGUUAACUACUUUGGUUGAUUCUCACAUUUACUUUAUUGCAUCAUUGCAUGUAUAAGAUUGCAACUUUAGUUCUCUAAGAAAAAGAGACUAGUUGGUUCUUGCAAAACCACCAGUCUUGGUUUAGGAAUUACAACAUAUCGGAAGAGAGGUGUUAUAGAUAUAUAUAAAGCUAUUAAAAUAAAGUAAACAAUAUCAAACUAAUGUGAAAAUAUUUGGAUGAUUGUUCUUACACUAAAAAAUUGUGUUAAAAAAACAAAAGUGGAAAAGAAGUGUUAGCUGAAUUUUUUAAAAUAAAAAUUAAGAAAAAACGGUUGUGAAAGGCAUCUUAGUAUAUUUUUUUAAAAAAUAAUUAAAGUUUCCUUCCUUAUAGAUUAACUUACAUGCAUCUACUUUUAUUAAUAUCACAAUUCAAUUAUGGAAGGAAGGCAUUUGAAAUGUUCAUGUUGAAAGAAAGUUCCUAAUAAUUUAUUUACAAAACUAAUAUUUCCUUAAAAGAACAAUAAAUUUCUUUGUUUUUUUUAGUUUUUUACUUUGUUGCAAAGAGAGAUCACACAAACUUGUAUCCCAUGUGCUUCACUAAUUAAAGAACUAAUUUCACAAUUAUUUUUCAUAGCCCUAGGUGCCUUUCUAGUAUGAAAUGAUAGUUAAAGAACAACUUAUUUUUUAUCUUGCUUGAAACUUUAAUUCAAUUAUAAUAUAGAACUAACCGGUCUAUAAGCUAGUUAGCUAAUGCUAUAUAUAUGAUAACUAAUAGGCAACUUGAAUAAUCAUACUCAUAAUUAUAAUAAUAAUAAUAUUGAAAAAUUGAGUUUCCCUAACUCCUUAUGGUGAAGAUAUUUAUCAAUAAAGUAAGUUAAAUCAGUUUUAAGGAUGUUGACAUUAAUAAUUAUGAAAUAUACAACUUUAGAUUAUAUUGUUGUGAAGGAAGGCAUUCCAUUGAAGAGAGAUGAAUAACCAAAAUAAAAGAAGUGAAAUUUUUUAGGAGACACUCGUGUGCGGUGAUUACAUUGGGGUCGGUGCCCACUUUUACCAAAGCCAGUCAUCAAAUAAAGUAAGUUAAAUCAUCUCUUCAUGCAUGUCAUUAAAGAUGUAAAAUAAUAAUCAAUGAAUUGCACUUUGCUUUACACACAGCCUGCUUCAAAUUGAAGCCAUAUAUAUGGUUUAAAGGUUUUGCUCUAUUGCAUAACUAUGCUCUUUUUUCCUUUUCUUUUUUAAUAUUGCAGUUAUUAACACUCCUUCUCAUGCGUAAAUUGGAAUAUAAUAGGAAGUUAAUUUAGUUUCUUUUCAACUGAUCUCUCUUGCAGUUCUUUCUGAUUUCAUGAAUUGUCUGUGAAUAUGGGGAUGUUAGGUUGUGAUUUUCUGUUUGUUCUAUGAAUUAAAAAAAAAGGUUUUUCUUCACUGUCAACUAUGUGUUGUAGUUUGCUUUUUUUUUUUUUUAAAGAAAAAUUGGUGUGAACAUUUGAACAUAUGAAAAACAUUAGUGAAAUUAAAUGUGACAAACUUAUGAAUGGGGUAGUUUGGGAGGUAUAAUUUGGUUGGAGAGAAUUAGAGAAACAGUGGGAAAAAAAAAUCUAAAAAUGGCUAUGUUUGGAGGCCCCCCUCCUACUUCUCUUCUACUCCUAUUUUACAUUUUUCUCCCAAAAAACCACUUGGAUUUUCCCCCAUUUCCUUCCUUAUCACAUCAACAAAAUCACUGUCUUUGCCCUUUACUCGUUCCAAUUCCUAAAUAUUUGUCGUGGAGUAAUAUACAUCAAACGAUUAAAGCAAAACUAAGUAAUAUACAUCUAACACAUACCUAAUUUUAUUGAUAAAGUAUUUACUUUAUGAAACCAUAUGAAAUCAGUAUUUUCCUAAGGGAAAAUGAUAGCUUACUGGUCUGCUUGAUACUAACUACCCAACCAAAGAAAAGAACUAAACAUCCAUGUAGUACAUAUCUAUAGUUAUGUAAAGUUAAGAAAGUCAUAGAUUUAAUGGCUUGGUUUGGUAAGAGUUACAGAAGGAGGAAUGAAAAUCAAAUGGCUGUUUUGAGUUGAUUCCAGCCAGCCCCCAUUUUUAUAUUUUGCACAAAUUUUUUGUUUCAUGCCUUGAUUAUUGCAGAACUUCAGGAUCUAAAAAGAGAAGAAAUGUUGGGAGAGAGGCCAAGGUAACUACAAUUGCCCUAUGUACUCUAUUGUUGUCAGUAGUUUUAUUUUUGAAGGUUGUACUGAUGUCUCUUUAUUUAUAGUGAAAUUGUUUUAGAUUAUCAUCAUUGGCCAGAUGUAAAUAUAAAUUUUCGUAAUUUGACUGAAAUUCUCAUUCAAAGUAUCAUAAUUGGUUUGUUUUGAUAUUGUUUGUAGAAUGAUUGAAGUCAUAUCGGGUUGAAAGCUAAGUGAUCGUGUAGACAACCAGACAAUCGUUAAAGGUUGAAGACUGAGAAGACGUCUAAGAUUUCUUAUUUAAGUCAUGUAUUAGGAUCUUGUACUCUUGUAAAAUAUAUACAUAACACAAUAUUAAGAUUUCAUUUUGUGUAUACACAAGUAAAUGACAAAUAUUGUAGUUUCUAAAUUAAUAUUAAUUUUAUUGAUAUGUUGGCACGAAAAAAAAAUAUUUAUCUACAAUUAAUGUUGGUUUAUAAAAAAAUGGACAAUAAUGCAACAAUUAAAUAAAAAUAAAAUUGCAAAGGUGGACUAAAAACUUAGGCUUUAACGUCGUUUUUAAACUGACAUUGUUGGCCUCUUUAAUGUCAAUUUUAAGGUCAACCGACACUAAAGAUCUUCAAUAACACUAUAAAAAAUAUCGGUUUAAAAAUGACAUUAUUAAUUUCGUUUCUAAACCAACAUUAAUGAGACCUUUAAUGUCAUUUUUAAACCGACAUCAAAGAAAAAACGACAUUAAAGACCUUUAAUAACGCUAACAUAGAUGUCGGUUGCCAACCAACACUAAAGGCCAUUAAUAUCAGUUUUAAACCGACAUUAAAGGUAAAAUUUCUUGUAGUGGUUGGAUAAGUAAAGAAAAGAUCUAUGAUAUAAGUAAGGACAACUAUAGCUAAUUGCACGAGACCUUUGGAGUAAAAUUAAAAGCAAAGCUAUGAAGGCUUUAUGCUUAAAAAGUAGACAAUAUCAUAUACCAUUUUGGAGAUAUGUUGGAGACCUACGACAUUGUGGAUAUAUGUUAGAGGGUUCGUUGUGCGACUGUCUCACAAGUAAAAAUGAGCCUAAUUACAACACAUCUAGAAACUAAUCCAACCCAAGAAUAUCACAAGAUCCACUAUUUCUCAUCCGAGUCUUGGAUUAUUUCAAAAGUAAGAGGCCUCAUUUCUACCAUCAUCUACCAAAUUACAAGACUAAUUCAACUAUAUAUAUUUCAAAAAUCAUAAGACCAACAUGAAGGUUUUUUUAUGAAGAAUUCGUGAAAGGUUUAUUUUACGCUAAUCAACCUUGUUGGGAAUUUAAUUUGUACUGAAAAUCAACCAGUUUGAUAGAACUAAUGCAAAAGAUUAACAUGGGGAAAAAAGUUUCAACAAUAACCUUGAAGCUCGAUAAUAGUGAUCGGUGAUUGUAACCCUAUUACUUAAGAGUGAUGGCAUAACUCUUACUUAAGAGUGAUGGCAUAACUCUCCAAUAAUGUAACUUCUGAUUCAAGUUGUGUAGCCCUUUAAUUUCCUUUGUUUGCAUCUAGAGGCAUUGAUGACUCUAAAAUUUACAUUCACUGUCUUGCAGCCGUUGUCUCAGUUCUCUAUCCUACAAUGUGUUUAUUGAGCGGAAAAUAAUUAGAAGGUAGCAUUGAUGAAUAGAAAAAAUUGACCUUUCUUCUGAUAAGAAAGAGAAACCGAACUUCAUCAAAGAAUUAGGGAAACAAAAUAUAAUGGGAGAUGAGGAAUCGACCCAAAAGGGCAUCACGUGAGUGGUGAAAAGUUCUUCUAGUAAUUUUUUGAAGAAAUAAUAGAAAAAGAGAAUAUGAAAGUGUUUUUGUAAGAUCACUCGAGUACAACUCAUUUUAUGGUGUAAAUAACUAAUAGUAUUAUUUUUUUAAUUGCAAUAUUGAAUAACUAAUAGUAUUAUUUUUUUAAUUGCAAUAUUGUCAUGUGGGUAGAUGAAAUAUUAAAUCAUGAUGGUACUGAAGAGAGAGAAUGAUCAAAAGAUGAACUAUAUGUAAUAAUUAAAGCUCAGUGCUAUUCAUCUUACAUAACCUCAAUCUCCAAACUUCAUAUCAUUCUCUUCCUCUUUAAUCAGUAAAAUUUGUAGUUGAAGGACAACACAUUACCACCAAAAGUAAUAGUAAAACUUAUUAUAUAAUAAAAAGUGUCAUAGAAAAUUUCUCCGUUUUAGAAUUUUUUUACAUACUAUAAAUAUAAAUAAUAUACACACACCCACGUAUGAAUCAUUAGAGCUUAUAGAUAUAAAUAUAAAUAAUAUACACACACCCACGUAUGAAUCAUUAGAGCUUUUAUAUACUAUAUACUAUUGAUAUAGAUAUAAAAUAUAUAUAUACACCCACACACAUGAAUCACAUUCAAUCACAAAUACAUAAAUAUAUAUAUAUAUAUAUAUAUACCACUUAUCUUCAUGAUCACAAACGUAUAUAUAUAUACACACACUCACAUAUGAAUUAUUAGAGCUUUUAUACAUAUUAUAGAUAUAAAUGUAGAUACAUAUAUAUCCACACAUGAAUCACAUUCAAUCACAAACAAAUAAAUAUAUAUAUAUAUAUACCACUUAUGUUCAUAAUCACAAAUGAAUAUAUAUAUACACACAGGCACAUGAAUCACAUUCAUCACGAAAGAAGAUAUAGAUAUAUAGCCAUUAAUCUUCAUGAUCACAAAUAUAUAUAUUGAUUUGUUUUAACAAUUCAAGAGAUGUGCUCAUAGUGUUAAGGGUAAAUUAAAAGUAAUGCUAAGAGAGGUCAAAUACGGUAUUUGCUUAUUAGGCAUCUGACAAAAAUCACUUCCAUAUAUUUAGUGAACAUUACCUCUCUCAAACUUUCAAUAUUGAAAUUUGAAAUUUGAGCUCGAUUUUAUUAUAUACGAGUGGUAAAAGUGAAUCCUAUAAUUUGUAAUAGUCGUAGGAAGUUGAACACUAAAACUAUAAUAAAAUGUUAACUUUCAAAUUUAUAUUAAAUGUUUUGAUCUAUUUACUUUUUUUUAGUUUGAGAAUCCAGUUUUUACUAUCAAAAGUUUUAGAACAAUUGCAGUUACCAUCCUAAUUUAAUUAGGGGUAAAUUCUUUUAAAAUUUUUCUUGUUUAUUUAAAGUUUGAAUUCAUUGUUAUUUCUAAUUAGGUUCUAAAUUUUCAUAAAUGUCAAUGUACAUUUUAUCAAAUUAGUUUUGAAAAAUAUAUUAGGGAAAACUUUAAUUUCUCAGUUUUAAUGUUUGGAUUAAUUUAGAACUUUUGUUAGAAAUAUAUUUGAAUAUCGUUAAUGCAUUAAAUUCGUACAUGUGCGUAGACUUUCAGACUUUAGCUAGAUUAAUAAGUUGCAAUUGAUGAGAAAAUACCAAUAAUUUUUCUCAUAAUUUCUAGAAGUAAAGAUGGUAUUGAUGGUUUCUUAAAUCGUAAAGAAAAAUUAUUUUAAAUGACAAAAAUGUUGAAAUUUUUUAUCAAUAUAACACAAAUAUCGUAUUUUGUUAGCGAUAGAGACUACUAUCUAGAUCUAUUACGACAUAGAUAAUAGUUCAAGAUGGUUUAUCAUUGAUUCAUAGACGUAGACAGUAAAAUUUUGUUAUAUUUAUAAAUAUUUUAAUUGUUUUACUAUAUUAAAAAAUAUCUAAAUAAAUAUGAACACAAAUUAAUAUUAAUAAUCAAAUAUAGCCAUGGAAGUAUUCGAAUCUUCCACCCAUAUAUUAUAAUAUAAUAUAAUUAUAUAAUUAAUAACUGACAAUUUUGUAUAGGUUUUUAUGUUGGGUAGGAAUAUAUAUAUAUAUAUAUAUAAAAGAUAGGAGAGAAAUUUCCUAGUUAAUGUGGACAUAUUAGACUUAAUUAUAUUUAAGUUGUUAUUAAGUUAAGAAAAACAUGUGAUAUUGAAUAUUAAAAAAUUUGUUCUUUUAAUUUAGUUAUUAGGUCUUUCUUAAAUUGACAAUUUUCAAUCUAGCUCAAAGUUGACAAAUUAAUAAAAAUAAUUUUAAAAUAUAGUAAGAAUGAACAUAUAAUAAUUAAUAAAUACAUACCAAUGUUGAUUGUUUGGUGAAAAUCAAAGAUUGGUCGUGGAAUAGACAUAUAUGAAUUACGUUUGAUAUUUGAGAUUCCACAAUUUUUGUUUUAAUUUGAUUAGUAUAAUUUACUUGUCACCCCCAAGAAAAAAACAAUAAUAGAACUUUUUCUUAAAGUUUAAUAAUAUAAUGAAACUUUAACGUUACAAUUAUAAGGUCGAAAUUGAAGCUCCAACGUCUAAGAAUGAAAAUAUAUCAUGUCAUUACCUUGAAAUAAAACUAAGACUCCAUUGACUGUGAGAAUAUUAGUUAAUGAUCGUUUAGGAUCCUCAUAAGUAUGAAAUUUUUCUCAAUAUAAUGAAUCAUAUGCUCCUCCUAAUUAGGUGUGAGACUUCCUCUUACCAGUAACUUUUUAUCUUUCCACCUUUAAAUGAAAACAACGAAUCUAUUUGAUAAACUUAGUUCAAGAAUAAAUCAAGUUUCUAAACAAUCUAGAUAAACAAUUUAAGACAUUCUCUCUUCUUACUUCACAAUCACUAAGAUUGACACACUUAUGAUUUACGACAAACAUCCAAGAUAGUGUAGUGAUAAUUCUUCAAUACAACCAACCCUAAAAGAAAUACAACAACGUAACCUCUUAAAAUUUGCCCAAUGAAGGAGAAUGAAACAAAUGCAUAUCAUCACCAACAAAUUUAUUAGUGUAGGCACAUGGGGGCUUGAGACCCCCUAGGGCCUCAUCUUUAUGCUUUUUGUAAUAUAUAUGUUACACAUACGUAUAUAACUGACAUUAUAUUAAUAUUAGUAGUUGACCAGUUGUAAAUUAGUUUUAUCGAUCUCCUCUAAACCUAGGUUUAAGCCCUACUCUAUACAGUGUAAUGCCACACACUACAAGAUUUGUUGUUUUUUCCAAAAAAAAUUCUGGCAACAUAACAAACAAAAUCGAUAAAGAUAUGUGUUGCCUGCAUAUUUUCAUUACGUGGAAACAUCAUUUCUACCGAUGAAAAUAUAUAUGUGGGAAAAAAAAAAUUUCCAAUGCAUGGUAUGUUUCGUGGGAAGAAUUGCAUUUUUUACCCACGUGUUUACUUGUGUGGGUGUUUAUACUGAUGCACGCCAUAAAAUCGUGGACAGAGAAAAGGACGACAAGCUUUUACCAUGAUACACAUGCUCAAGCAAAAACAAAAUGUCGACAAAGGUUUUACCAACUUUUUUCUUAACAUUUGUUGACAUUUUUUUGUGUCGAUGGAGACUAACACUACAAGAAAUAGGAACAAUUGCGACGUCAAAAACAACGUUGGUGAAAGGCGCAUCGUCAUUGAUCAUCUUUCGUCGAUGCACGCAAUGUUACGUCGUGGAAAGCCCCUUUUCGCGACGUAUAGGAACAAGACGUUGUUGAAAGUGUAAAUUUAAAUUUAAUGCGUUCAUUUUUUUCUAACGUGUGGUAGAGUGCAGGUUGGGGAAGAUUAAAUAAUAACUAUUGUUUAAACUUUCCUCGAUAUCACCUUGCCACACAUCGCGAAAAGGGAACGCAUUAAAUUUAAUUUUAUACUUUUCCCGACGCUGAGUGGAGUAAUGUCGCAAAAAGUUUAAUAAUAAUAAUUGUUUAAACUUUCUCUGACGUGCAACCUGCCACACAUCGUGGAAAGUGUCCAUAUUGAAGUGACAAUGGUCACCUUUCCCUAACGUGUGGCAGGAACACGUACGUCGAAAAAAGUCAACAUUAUUUAUUCUCCCUUCAACACAGAACAAAAUGCAAAACAAAAAUAAACCCAAAAUCGACCAAGAGAAAGGGAGGGGAGGAGAGUUGUACCGCUACUGUCGUCGUCCAUCUUCAUCGCCACAUUCAUCGAAAGUGUCCUCUUUUCUUCUCUUUUUCUUUUCCAUUUCAACUUUUUCGUUUCACUGUACCCUUUCAAAUCAUAGCAGAGUCAAAAUACAGAGCACCGCAAAAUGUGUUUAUGAAUCCAAACUGAAACACAAAGUUAAAAAAACUAUGAAGAAACUACAAGAAUAAUAGAAGUAUGCAAUUAAAACAGAACGUAACAAAGCUAGAAGAUGAUGAUGAUAAUGAUGAUGAUAAACAAAGAAAAGAAAACAUAAUGUAAAAGAAAAAAACAAAGUUUAGGUUUUUUCCGACGUGACGUGAGGAAGGGUUUCCUCGACGUGUUGACAAUGUGCGUCGGUGAACGUUUUUCCGUCGUCGACGCGAUUUGUGUCGGAGAAAAUAUUUCUAACGUGUUUUUCCUAAUGUACAUGAUGACGUCGACUGAGACGUCAGAGUAACCUUCCCCAACAUGUUUUGAGAUUUUAUCGAUGUGGGGCUCUAUUGGGGAAAACUCUAUUUCUUGUAGUGUAAAUUUUUUUUUUAUAGUAAACAACUUUAAGAAAUAAUGCGACCACCAAAUCUCUAACAAAAACAAUCAUAUUAGUCUUUUAAAUUUUUUAUAUUUUGGGAUAGUUGGAUUACACGCUUCUAAUUCAAAGUCAAAAAAUUAUUUUUUCUCUUUUUUUUCUUCAAAAAAAAUCACAAUAAUGAUCUAAUAACUAAAAUAAUAUUAUUUUUUAUUUAUAUAUAUAGAUUUAAUUAGAUUUGUUUUUAAAUAUAAAAAAAGACUAAAAUAUUUAUAAAUAUAGAAAAACAUGGUUGAUACAUAUUUUAAUAAUCACUAAUAAAUGCUAAUAUAAAUUUGAUAAACAUCUACAAGUUUCUAUCAUUCAAACUAUUUUUCAACAAAAAUAAUUUUGUCUUUUACAACAAUUUUUUGUUUUUGUUACCUAUUUAAUUUUAAAUAUUAAUUGGAACUAAAAUAGUGUUUAAUUAUUUAAUAAUUAAAAUUUAAUAUUUUAUUUUGAUUAUGAUUGAUCUUAUUUUUUACAACAAUGAUAGAUUUGAUUGUUCUGCUUAACGUUAUUUUUGAAAAGUUCUUCUUUGAUUAUUAAUUUCUAAUUAUUUAAUUAACUAAGAGUUUAAUUAUUCUAACAUAUUAAAUAUUUAUAAUAAGUUCUCAUUUUUUUAUCUUCUAGUUUUAAUCCAUAGAAAUUAAGUUUAUUAUUUAAUUUUCAAGUCAAAUUUGAGUCUUUUUAUAAUGCAUUUAAUUUUUUUUCACAACAUUAUUAUAUUUAAUUCAAGUUGUACAAUAAAUUAACGUUAAUUAUUUUUUAAUCACUUUUCACAUUCUCACACAUUGUCAUGAUCAAAAUAUAUAACUUGUACUUAAAAAUCUAUUUAUAUACAUAUUAUAUAUAUAACUCUCUUUACAAACAUUUAAGUUUUUUUUUGUAGGUUGAGGUUUGCUUCUCUUGAUCUUCAUAUUCAUUGUCUUGCUUUUAUUUAUUUGGGAUUACUUAACCUAAUUUUGAUCAAAACAUUUUCAUUUUCAUUUGUUUGUCUUCGUAUUCAUUUUCAUCUUCAUAUUUGUUGUCUUAUACAAUUUUAAAGUAUUCUUUAGUAAAUAAAAAAGGUUUUUUUUUUAAUCAUCAAAGUAUUAAUUAUUUAAUUAAUUUGAAAUUAAUGGUGAAAAAGUCAACAAAAAAAUAUUUAUACAAAUUAAAUAUUCUAGAUAACUUCUAUGUUUAGAUCUCUAUUGUAGGUUCCAUGAAGUUUUUGUUUUCGUUUUUUUUAAUACGUGAUAUAUAAUAAAUGGAAAACAAAGCUUUUCCACCUAUAUACACAAUUUUUUUUUAAAAAAAAAAAGUCAAAGAAAUGAAAGAAAAAAAAAACAAUGUGAACAUUGCUCAAAUGUCAUAAUUGUUAAAAUAAUACUAAGAAGAAAAACCAAAUUUUAAUUAUAAAAAGGGAGUCAAUUAAUUGUAAAUUUUGCAGUGCCAUCUUCCACAAACAGCUCCCCACUUCAUAAUUUUCUCCUUAUUUCAUCAUUGCAUUAUUAUUAUUCUUCCCUUCAAUCUCUUAGAAUUAGAGAUGGCAAAAGUUGCAAAUCAGCCAUCGUUAAUUCCUAUGCCUUUUCUAGUCAUCUUCUUCGUUUUCUCAAUCUUUUUUGGUUUUGGAAUAACUCUCUCUAAGGCUGUUUCCCAAACCAGAUACUACAAAUUUGAAGUUGAGUACAUGUUUUGGUCCCCGGAUUGUAUCGAAAACAUUGUCAUGGGAAUCAACGGUACGUUUCCCGGUCCACCAAUUAGAGCCAAUGUUAAUGACACCGUGGUUGUUGAGGUGAUUAACAAUCUCUCCACCGAAGGUGUUGUUAUUCACUGGCAUGGAAUUCUACAACGAGGAAGUCCUUGGGCCGAUGGCACUGCUUCCAUCUCGCAAUGUCCCAUUAACCCUGGAGAAAACUUCACUUACGAGUUCAAAGUGGAUAAGGUGAGAAGAAUUAAAAUGUGAAUGUCGACAGAAGUGUCAUGAUUACAUUUGAUAAAAUCUUUUCAUUUAUUGAUUUUUCUUUAUUAUUAUAUAAUUUCUAGCCUGGGACAUAUUUCUAUCACGGUCAUUUUGGGAUGCAACGAGCAGCUGGGUUGUAUGGAUCCUUAAUAGUGGAUCUAGAGGAAGGAAAAAAAGAGCCCUUCCAGUACGACGAAGAGAUCAAUUUAUUACUUAGUGAUUGGUGGCAUGCAAGUGUCCACGAGCAAGAAGUUGGCCUUAAAUCAAACCCAAUGCGUUGGGUUGGAGAGCCUCAGGUAGUACAUGUGUCUAAGUAAAUUAUGUUCAUAUUGACAAUCAAAUUGAAAAGGACAAAACUUAAUAUUUUUCAUCAAAAUUUGACCUAUAUUUUACCAAAGUAGAUAAUAAAAUAAUGAAACUUAUAGGUAAAAACGAAAGUAUUUUCAAGCUUAACAAUUUUAUUUAACAACCAUCUCUUUCUCCCUUUUAGAAUUUGGAUAUCGAAAUAUUUUGAAAUAAUAUUAUCACAAAGUUAAUUGAAAUUGCUCAAUCAACUUAGCUAACUCAUCUUUUUAACAUCUUUUUAACAUUUGUCACCUCAUUUGCUUUCAUUAGUUAACUAACAAAUUUUAGAGACUAUUUAAAACCAUUUCUUAAACUCUAUAAAUUAAAGUUUUCAUUUUAAAAUUUUGAGAUUAAACACAUACAUAUGGACUAGUUCAUUUUAUAAUUUUAAUUUUUAGCCAAUUUUCUAAUGGAAAUAUCAAUUAAAAUUUUAGCCCAAAUUUAAAGGACAACAAUUUUAGCCCAAACUAGAAUAUAUAUCAUCAUAAAAUUAACAAAAUAUCAUAAAGUAUAACUAUUUUAUUAUAACUUUGAAACCAUAUAAGAAAGUAGAUAAUAAUAAAAAUUCAACCAUAAGGCUAAAGUUGAUUUUUAUUUUCUUGAAAUUUGUCGUUAGUAUAUUUGUUUGAUUCAUGUAAAAUACUUGAGAUUUAAAUCUAAAAUUUCUUUUCCUCUUGUUAUUGAAGACCAUACUCAUAAAUGGGACAGGGCAAUUUAAUUGUACAAGCUUAGAAAAAUACAACACGAGUUCAGAGCAUUGUGAGUGGAAAGAUCAAUGUGCACCAUUUGUGCUCAAAGUCGAACCCAAUAAGACUUAUAGGAUAAGAAUUGCAAGUACCACUUCAUUGGCUGCUCUCAAUUUUGCCAUUUCGGUAAUAUAAUCUCUCUCUUAAGUAUAUUAUUUUUACAACAAUGUAAAGAUAAAAGAUCGAAUCAAAUGUUCCACCUUAGGGAUGAAAACUUAUAUCAUAUGUUUAUCUUUGAAUUUUCAGGUGUAUGUCUAUUUAACUAAAUAAACAAAUUGUUCGUUUAUAAUACGUAAUGAAAAUGAAACUUUUAAAGACAAUGGAUUGUGAAUUUAGAUUUUCUUUUUUCUAAUCAUUAAUUUUUCAUUAUUUUUAUAGUUUUGAAAAAAGAAAAAGUUCCAUCAUUUUUCUUUUCUUUUUCAGAAUCACACAAUGCUGGUGGUAGAAGCCGACGGUAACUACGUUCAGCAAUUUGUAACCUCCGAUAUCGACAUUUAUUCCGGCGAGUCCUACUCUGUUCUCGUCACCACUAACCAAAGCACAACGCAAAACUACUGGGCUUCCAUAGGCGUCCGUGGUCGGGAGCCUAAAACAUCGCCGGCACUCCUCCUCUUCAACUACCUUCCCAACUCCGUCGCCAAAUUACCCAUUUCUCCACCGCCAGAAAUCCCCAAAUGGAAUGAUUACGAUCGAAGUAAAAACUUCACAUAUAGAGUCUUAGCCUCUGCCAUGAACACAACAAAACCACCACCAAUCUUCACUCGCCGGAUCUCCCUCCUUAACACCCAAAAUCUUAUGAACGGCAACUUCAUAAAAUGGGCAAUCAACAACAUUUCAUUAACCCUCCCCUCAACCCCGUACCUCGGCGCCAUUAAGUUCGGUCUGAACUCCACGUUCAACCAGACCGCCCCACCAGAAACAUUCCCAAAGAACUACAACAUCAAAAUCCCACCGCCGAACCCGAACACGAACACCGGAAACAGCGUUUAUCGGUUCCGAUCGGGGGAAAUAGUGGAUGUGAUUCUACAAAACGCCAAUGCGUUAAGCAACAAUACAAGUGAAAUUCACCCUUGGCAUUUACACGGCCAUGAUUUUUGGGUUUUGGGGUAUGGAGAGGGGAAAUUUUCCGACGAAGAUGAGACGAAAUUGAAUCUGAAAAACCCACCGUUGAAGAACACGGUGGUGAUUUUCCCAUUUGGGUGGACGGCGAUUCGAUUUGUGGCGGAUAAUCCCGGCGUUUGGAUAUUCCAUUGCCACAUUGAACCUCAUUUGGAUAUGGGAAUGGGGGUUAUCUUCGCGGAAGCAGUUGAAAAGGUCAGGGAAAUUCCUCCGUAUGCUUUGGCUUGCGGCCGCACUGCCACACCUCAGGUUGUUCCAAUAAUCCCACGACCCAACCCACCGGGACUAGAUAACCCAUAUUACAUCAUUUGGAUUGGGUUAGUUAUAUUUUUGUGUGUGAUUGGAUUGUGUUAUGUAUGUCUUUAUCGUAUCCGAUUCAAUAAUUUGAGUUGGAGACCUUAUUUAGGUAUUUCGGAGAGUCAAUCCAACCAAAUUGAAUUUUCAGAUUUGUCUCAAUCCAACCCAAAUCCAAACCCAACUCAUGAAGAGCCCUAACGAGAACAAUGAUUGGUAUAUUCUUCCUUCGAAGCAAAUCUCUAGAACAGCCUAGAACACAAUUUUUUCGGUGUAAUUUGGAGUAUGUAGUUUGUUCGGUAUUUUUAAGAAAUCAUUUUUUUUUUUAUUGCUUGUUCAUUUGUUGACCUUUUUAAAACUUUUUUGUUAUUUACUAGAAUUUCACUCAUGUGUUUCUUUGAACAUGGAAAUUAUUACUGUGGUUAAGGUAAUUUGGAUUAAAAGAAACAACUUACUAAAUUUAAGAUUUAUGGAAAUUACAUCAACUAAAAUUUGGAUACAGUUGGAUAUUGUUCACUUCUUCAACCUUUAUUGUUAAUGCAGCCUAAAAGUAAAAUUGAAUGAAAUUUGAAAUACAUUGAACAAAAGACCAUUUAAUUUUAAUCUUUGGAGUGAGUGAAGUGUUCUAAUGUGAACAAAAAAAAAUGUAAUGGUAAAAGUGAGGUGUGUGAUCAUUUUCAUCCUUUUGUUUUGUAUAAAUGAUCUAAAAUUGUGGAUUUGAAUUUGGGAAAAUAUCAACUUAAUUACACCUUAAAUUAUAGGGUUUGCUUGGUUGUAUUAAUUUAGAUUUUCAACUAAUAAUUAUAUCAAUUUAAUUUUUAAACUUUGGAGUUAUCUAUCCAUCUAAGUCUCAAAAUAAUUUUGUAUCAAUUUUAGGCUCUAAACUAUUUUAAGUGUAUCAAUUUCAAUCUCAAACUUACAUGAUUGUAUCAAUUUAACCCUUAAAUAUAUGUUUUAUUUGGAUAUACACUUAUGAAAGUCGUACAUUUAUGAAAGUUCAGAGUUUAAGUUGAUCCAGUUGUGAAAGUUCAAGGUUUAAAUUAAUACAAUUAUUAGUAGUUCAACGUUUAAAUUGUGAAAGUUCCAAAUUCAAAUUUUAAUUUUAUAAAAGUUUGGAGUUUAAAUUGAUACACUCUCAAGGUUUAUGGUUUAAAUUUUUUUUGAAAAAGAUAAGGUUAAGUGUACCGAAGCAUCCCUUUUAGCACCAUCCUCAUCCUCUAUCAAAUAUAUUUAUUCAUUGAAGUGCAAGGAACAUGAUGAUCCAAAAGAACAAGGCUAGAGGUAAGCCCAAAAAAAAAAAAAAACAACGAACAGAGAAGAAUAGUCAAGUAAAAACACUAGAGUUUAGAGCGAUUACAAUUGGAGAGUAGUUUGAAAAAAUCUUGUUUUCAAAAGACCAACAUCCGAUGAGACUGCAUAUAUUCUCUUCUGUGUUGAUAAUUCUAGCAAAGUUUAUGGUUUAAAUUGAUACAACUAUUAAUUCAAUGUCUAAAGUGAUUGUACAUGAUAUUUGUACGCUCUACAAAUUUAUAUAGCAUAUAUAUCUUGUCGGUUUAAGGAAAGAAUUAUUUUAGACAAUUCUACCCCUUGCCAAAUUUUAAAUUUACAACAUUAUCUUAUACUUUAAAAUAAAUGUUAGUGGUUGCUUAAAAUUUUUUUAAAAAAUUAUAAAUUAUAUUAUUUUAUAAUUGAUUUACUAUUUUUUAUUUAUUUAAUAUUAAUGAAUAUAAUAUAUAUGUAUUAAUAAUUAAGGAAGUUAUCACUCACAACUCACAUCAAAUGAAGUAUAAUAUAAAUAAGGAAAUGAUUUGAAUUUGAUUUCAAAAGCUAUAUAUAAUUAAUAAUUAUGAUAUAAUUGUCCUAAAAAUAUACGAAAACCUAAUCAAGAAAAAAAAUCAUAAUCUAGUACAUUCGUGAAAUUUUCUAGUAGAUUUAGGUUUUUUUUGUCUAAAUAUUUCUAAUUUAAAAGAGUUGAAGAAAAAUAUGAUUUUAGAGACAGAAAAUAGAAAAAUUAUAUAAUAUUAUUCAUUAUAAUAUAGUUUUAUCUGUGUACGAAGUUGAAAAAAAACUAACAGUUUUUCUCUUUUUCUUCUUCUUCAAUUUUUUUGUGGAUAGUUCAAGUUCAAGCUAAAGAUGAAUUUUCUUAUUUAUCUUUUUCUUUAUCCAUUUUAUUUUAAGAUUUGAAUUGUUGUAUUACAGUCAAUUUAUAAAGCCAUUUUCAUAAAAUUUAUUUUUAGAUCACAUUUAGAACUAUAUUUUUUUGUGCAAAAUUAAUGUGAACAUGUGAUCAUAGAUUUUUUUUAGAGAUAACGUGAGAAUAGUAAAAAAUUAGAUUAAAAAAUAGAAAAUUCAAAAAAUAUUAAGAUUUAUAGCAAAAUCACGGUUGUAGACUUUUUUUAACCGAUUAUACCAUUUGUAUAGGAAAUUUCUUUUCCGUGAGAUACAAUGUUUUUGCAUAGGUAAAAAUGAUACAUGAUAUCACAGAUUUACAGAUUCAGUGUAUUUGCAAAAAUCGUUAAUUUUGAAAAAAUCUUAAAUAUUUUGAAGUUAAAUUUUAUAACAUCCACUAAAAUCAUCAAUUUUGAAUUCUUUUAAACUAUCUUAAAAAUAAUGGUAAACAUAAAUUCAACAUUUUUAGAUUAUUUAUAUUUCUAAAUAUUUCUAAAAAAUUUGAAUUUAAAUAACUCCAAAAUACAUUAAUAACAAUUUGAAUUUAAAAUUUUACCAUCAUUCCUUCAAAUUGUGCUAAUUAAGAUUAUCCAUUUAUUUUAUUUAAAAAAAUCACUCAUAAAAUCAUGCUAUUUAGUUUAGUUGUCGCUAAAAUAAUGACAAACAUAAAUUUAAAAUUUUCAGAUUAUUUAUAUUUCAAAAUAUUUAUAAAAAUUUGAAUUUAAGUACAUCAAAAAUAUAUAUUGUUAAUAACAAUUUGUAUUUAAAAUAGUAUCAUUUCCUAAAUCGUGCUAAUUACAAUUAUUCACUUAUGUUAUUAAAAAAUUAUAUUAUCCCCUAAAAUCAUGCUAUUUGAUUCAUAUCUCUAAAAUAAUGACAAACAUAAAUUUAACAUUUUCAAAUUAUUUAUAUUCUAAAAUACUUAUAAAAAUUUUGAAUUUAAAUACCUCCAAAAUACAUAUUCUUAAUACCAAUUUGAAGUUAAAAUUUUGUCUUCCCCUAAAAUCGUGCUAAUUGGUUGAUUUUUAUUUUUAAAAAAUUAUUUUAUUGUGCUAACUAUAUUGAAUAAUUAUUUAGACGUUAUUUUUUUAAUUUACUUUAAUAUUCACAUUUAUUUUCAUUCUGUGAGAGUCUCAAAUACACCUUAAGUGAUCCACGAUCCUUAAAAUUUCAUAGUCAUUCAUUAUACAAACAUAUUACAAUUAUUUGGCACUAUUCCAUUUUCAAAUAUUAAUAUUUAUUUGCUCAUGUAAUGACAAAUAUAAAUAAUUUUUGUAUAUUUUAAACAAUUUAUUAAAUAAUACAUAAUAUAGUUUUAAUAAAAAAUUGAAUUUAAAUUUUAGAUCCUCCCCUAAAAUAAAGCCAAAUAUAAGUACAAGAUUUUCACAUUUUUUUAUAUAUUUUAAACAAUUUAUUAAAUAAAACAUAAUAUAGUUUUAAUAACAGUUUGAAUUUAAGUUUUAGAUCAUUUCCAAAAAUAAUGUUAAAUAUAAAUACAAUAUUUUUACUUUUUUAAAAAAAAAUCUUAAAUAAUAUAUAAUAUAUUUUUAAUAACAAUUUAAAUUUAAAUUUUAGAAUUGUAACGAUGCCUCAAUAACAUUUUUGUAAUUAUUUAAAUCUUCUUCCUUUAAGUUUUAUUCGAGAUUAUUUAAAUCUUCUUCCUUUAAGUUUUAUUUUCUUUUCUCGAAUAAAACCUAUGUGAGUGUUUUUCUUGCAAAUCAAGAGAGGAGAAAAGUUUCAACGUCAGCAACAAAAAUCAUGGGUCUUGUGCCAUUACAUACAAAAGAAUGCAUUUUUUGUGUUCUUAAAUCCCCUCAUGUCCAUCAGAAUGCAAGAUUCCAUUUUGAAAUCAGAACUCACCAACGCCUCAUUGAUAUUUUGUACCCUACUGCCCAAACGAUUGAUUCUUUGACGCAACUCGACCUUCCAACUAUUAUUGACGUAGGAGGAAGAAAUUGAAGGUUUUCAAGGUUUUGAAGUUGAUUUGAAGAAGUUGAAGGUUUUGGUAGAACAAACCCUAAAAAAUUAGCAAACGAAAUAUUUUAGAUAAAUGAAACUUGAUCUAAUAAAACGGGUUUAAAAUAUUCAUAUAAUAACAAAAUAUUUAUUGUUUUGUAAAGUUUAUUAAUGAAAUAUUUUGAUAGCUUUUUUAAAAUAUUAAUUAAAAUUUUAUUAAUGAUAAAUAUAAUUAGUUUAAUACAAGUUUAAAAUAAUGAAAAGGAAUAAAGAUAUUUUAGAAACUUUAUUAAACAUAUGUUUUUCCGAGAUCUUAUAAAAAUAAAAUAAAUGUUAUGUAUUAGAUAAAUAUUUAUUUUCGAAGUUCUAAAAAAUAAAUAUAUAAACAUUUAUUAAAUAUAAUUUAGGAUAUAAUUUUAUUAAAUAAAUAUAAUAAAUAUUUAUUAGAUAUAAAUGUUCCAUUAGGAUACAACUAAUUGGAGAUAUUAUGAAUAAAAAUUUCAUUGAUAUAGGAAAAUUUUGGUUUAAUAUUCUUCAGCAAACAAAUGUUGCCAUUCAAUUAGAAUCUAACAUAAUAUCCAACUUUGCAAAAUAAAUUGUGUUUCACAAAUCUAGUCACCUUACAAAGGUCUUAUACGUUCAUAAUACUACGUUGAAAAUCAUAACAUAUCACGAAAUCACGGGCAAAGGAAUAAAAAAGGCGCACGUCAUGUACAUUUCAAUUUUCAAUUGUAUUCUUCAAAAUUAAAGUUUUGUAUUAUAUAUCGUAUAUUUUUUUCUAAAUUAAGUGAUAACUAUCUUAAGAAUAAGGCAUUAAGCAAAAUCAUAAGCUUUCAUAAUCAAUCUAAUAUUAUCAUAAAAGGUAAAACAAUUAUUUAAUGUUAUAAUUUCAGUUUAACACAUCUAAUCUCUGAUCUCAACAUUCAACAUAUUAGUAAUGAAUGACUAAUCAAUUAACAUCAAAUAGCAUAUAACUCAACAAUAUUCAUUAUAGCCAACAUGAGUUUAGCUCAACUGGCACCUGUAUGUUCGUGUGGACAAGAGGUCCUGGAUUCAAAUCGCACAAGUGAAAACCAAGGAAUACUGAAACGAAAGGGACAAGUCUUUCAAAAACCAAAAGGUUAUGUCCAAAAGUUAAUUAUUUAAAUGUGAACAAAUGAAUAAACAGUUGAGACUAAAUUUAAAACUUUAUUAAAAAUGGAGAAUUAAAAUGGAACAAACUCCAAAAUACAAACACCCCAUUCAUAAUUUAACCAAGAAAGAAGAGUGCUAGCAAAUAACACAACAAGAGAAUAGAGUAAAUUACUUCAACAAACCCUAAAUAGCCACAUUUUCUAUAGCUUUUUCAGGAGUAUUUUAGGGAUUUCAAUUCUAGGGCUUUUGAGUGGGGUUCCGAAUAAGCGCUUUCGCAGUGCCACCGCAAGCCAUAGCGUUCGUCGGAAUUCUCCCAACCUUAUGAACUCCUUCGGCGAAUAUAACCCCCAUUCCCAUAUGCAAAUGAGGUUCAAUGUGGCAAUGAAAAGCCUAAACCCCUGGAUUAUCCGCCACAAAUCGAAGCACCGUCCACCCAAAUGGGAAAAUCACCACCGUAUUCCUCAACGGCGGGUUCUUUAGAUUCAAUUUCGUCUCAUCCGCAGCAGAGGAAAAUUUCCCCUCUCCAUACCCCAAAACCCAAAAAUCAUGGCCGUGUAAAUGCCAAGGGUGAAUCUCGCUAUGCUUGUCGUUCAAUGUGUUGGCAUUUUGUAGAACAACAUCCACGAUUUCCCCUAUUUGGAACCGGUAAACGCCGUUUCCGGUGAUGGUGUUUCUGUUCGGUGGUGGCUUGUUGAUGUCGUAGUCUUCUGGGUAUGUUUCCGGUGGGGGAUUCUGGUCGAAGGUGUGGUUUAGCCCGAUUUUAAUGGCGCCAAGGUACGGCGUUGAGGGGAGGGCUAAAGAGACGUUGUUGAUUGCCCAUUUUGUGUAUCCGCCGUUCAUUUUAUUUUGGGUGUUGAGGAGGAAGAUGCGGCGGGUGGAUUUUAGCGGUGGCUUUGGACUGCCCAUGGCAGCUAAGAUUUGGAAUGUGAAGUUUUUGCUUCGGUCGUAAUCGUUCCAUUUGGGGGUUUCGGGUGGCGGAGAAGUGGGUAAUUUGGAGACGGGGUUGGGGAGGUAGUUGAGGAUUGUUAGGCCUGGAGGGGUUUUGGGAUCACGGCCGCGGAUACCGAGGGAAACCCAGUAGUUCUCCGAUGGUUUUUGGUCGGUGUUGAUGAGGACGGAGUAAGAUUCGCCGGAAUAAAUGUCGAUGUCGGAAGUUAGAAAUGGUUGAACGUAGUUGCCGUCGGCUUCUACCACUAAUAGUUUGUGCUUCUGAAGAAGAAAAAAGAAAUUACUAUACAAUUUUAAAAAUAAAUAAAUUCUGAAUAAUUAGCAAGUUGAAUUUGACGUUUUAGUUUUAAUACACAUAGUAAAAAGAGAGAGAUAGUUACGUACCCCGAUGGCAAAGUUGAGGGCAGAGAGUGAAGUGGUACUUGUAAUUCUAAUCCUAUAAAUCUUAUUGGGUUUGACUUCGAGGAUAAAAGGUGCACAUUGUUCACUUCCACUCAACUUACAUUGCUCCAUUUUCUUCAUGUUCAUGUAUUUAGCUGCAAUUGAACAAUUGCUUUGCCCUCUCCCAUUUAUGAGUAUGGACUUUGAACAAGAAGAAGGGGACAUAAAAAUACAUUUAAUUAAACCUCUCAAAUAGCAUUAAUAGAAUCAACAAGAGAAAGUACAAUAAUUAUAUCCCUAACAAAAUAAUUUACCUAAAUCCAAUUAACCAAAUCAAAACCCUUACGACACUUUAUCUUCUAUUUAGGUUGGUUUAAUUUCCAAUUCUUUUUACUUUUUUUAACUUCAUUACAUGGUGAGAUUUCAUCUAAGGAUAUUAUGGUAACUUUUGAAAAUAAUAUAAAAUGUUUUUUUUUAGAAAAAAUAAUUCAACAAUGAUAAUUGGAAGUUUGCAAAAAAGUUUAAGAAACAAUGUCUAAUAUAAAAAGUAAUUGUUAUGUGUAUAACAAAAACCAUGUUUCAAGCAAGUAAGGUAUUUAUAAGAGGGACAAUAUUACUUUCCUCAAUAUGUUUUAUUUUGGUAGAAAUUAUACCUUAUGUUAUUUAUGUGUCUCAAAAAGAGACAUAUAUGUUUGAUUUGUUGUUUCUUUUAACGGAAAAAAAAAAAAAAAAACUAAACGUGUUCGAACUCUUAUAGUUUGAGCUAUCUUGUGUUUUUAGUGUAGAGUAAGAGAUUUAAAUCAAUUUCAAUUUUUAGAGAUAAAAGUAAUGUGAAUGUCAAUGAAUCAAACUCACUCCGUUAUGUAAUUUUGACGUUGAAUUUUAUUGGAAAAUUGUUUUAAAUGGUAAAACGGUUGAAAAUACUUAUAAAUACAAUAAAAUUUCAUGGGCUUUCAGUCAUAGACAACUAUCCAUGAUAUUUUGCUAUAUUUAUAAAUAUUUUUGUUUAUUUUGUUAUAUUUGAAAACAAUCUAAUUUUAUAAAAUGUUUUAGUUAUUUUUUUGUCUAAGGAAGUUUUGUUUUUAAAAUGCCAUUGAGAGAAUAUUUUGUGGACAUUUUUGUUUGUUUGUAGUUAAAGCAGCAAACAUUUUGAAUAUUAAGAAAUAAUUAUUAAAAGUAUAAUUAUACCAUUUCGACAAAAAAAUCUAACAUUAGUUUAGUUAGAUAAUUAUUAAUAAUAAAGUAUAAUUAUACCAAAUUGCUACCUAACAAUACUUUUAUUUUUUGCUUUAAAAAAAAUAUAAGCUUAUAAUAUUAUUUUCACAAAUAAUUAUCUUCAUUAAUUUUAUUAAUCUACCAUUUAGAUAUACAAAAUCAAAGUUUUGAUAAAUAAAUUUGUAAAAGUAGAUUUUGUUGUAAAAAUUUAACAAAAGAAUCCUACACAAAUGUUUCAAUUAUCUCUCUUUUCAUUUGAGAUAUGCUUUAUUUUUAUACAUAAAAUUUUAAUUUAAACACUGUCCUUCAAAAAAUAUCCUAAAAUAUAAUAUUGAAACAAACUCCAUAAUUCUUUCUUUCUUUAAUUUCUUCUUCUUCUUCCUUUUUUUUUUUUUUUUUUUUUUGGUUAAAGUAGGACUUAAUUUUUAAACCUUGACCAUGAUGCCAAUAUUCAUAUUUUUGAACUUGUAGAAAUAAAAACACUCUCAAAGGUGUAUAUAUAUAAUAAUAAUAAUUUUCAAAAUAAAUAGAGGGAAUAUAAAUGAAAGUUUUGUUAGAGAAGAGUAUAGAAAACCUACCUCACAUCUCAUGAAUAUUCAGUAUAAUUUAAGAAAAUAUCAUAUUUGAUGGUUAGUCCAAACAUAAUUAGGAGAUAAAGAUAUAACUUAAACUACCUGUGGUUCACCAAUCCAACGCAUUGGGCUAGAGCUAAGGCCAAUUUCUUGCUUUAGAAUGCUUUCGUGCCACCAAUCACUAAGCAACAAGUUGAUUUCUUCGUCGUAAUGGAACGGCUCUUUCUCUCCUUCUUCUGGAUCCACUAUCAAGGAUCCAUAUAACCCAGCCGCUCUCUGCAUACCCAAAUGACCAUGAUAGAAAUAUGUCCCAGGCUGCCAAACGCAAGUUCAACAAAACAAAUAAAUUUUGUUAGAGAUUAUAUUUUAUGUCACUUUAUUCAGCAUCGACAUUUCGAAACCUUCUCACCUUAUCUACUACGAACUGGUAAGUGAAGGAUUCGCCUGGGUUAGUCGCACACUGCGAGAUGGAAGCAGUGCCAUCGGCCCAGGGAGUUCCCUUCUGUAGGAUUCCAUGCCAAUGAAUGACAACAUCUUCAGUGGAGAGCUUGUUAAUCAUCUCUACAACCACAGUGUCACCAACAUUGGCUCUAAUAGUUGGCCCGGGAAACUGGCCGUUGAUUCCCAUGACGAGGUUUUCUUUACAGUCCGGGGACCAAAACAUGUAUUCAACUUCCCAUGUGUAGUGUCUAGUUUGGGAAACAGCAUCAGAGAGAGUUAUUCCAAACCCAAAAAUGAUUGACAGAAGAAAGAACAUGGCUGGAAAAGGCAUAGGAAACAAUGGCUGAUUUGCAACUUUUGUUGCCAUCUCUUGGUAAAGAGAUGGAAGGGAAGAAUAAUAAUGCAAUGAGCAAAAAAGAGGAAAUUGGGAGUGGGAAGUUUGUGGAAGAUACCACUGCAAUUUACCAACGGCUCCUCCUUAAUUUAUAAUGAAAUUUUGUGAGGUUUUGAUAAUACAAAUUUAUGUCAACUUAUUUUUUCUUUUGUCUUCAUUUGUUUGAUACUUUUUUUUAUUGGUUUUAUAGUUCUAAAGGUUUUUUCUUCUAUGGAAAACUUGACGUUUAUAUGAUGGAUAUUGAGAACCUAGAGAGAGAUUUAAAUGUAGAAGUUUGUUUGGAUGUUUAAUUUUUUUAAUUAAAAUGUAUGUAUAACAUAAUAUAAUAACUUUUUUUUAAGAAUUUGCAUAGUAGAAAGGUACUGAAAUUAUGUGUUAUGUAAGAUUGUCUUUGCUAAGCUUUAGGUAAUCUAGAUACUAUUAAUUUCAUAUAAUAAAGUUUAUCUAAAUUUUUUUUAAGCUGAAGUAAAUUUAUUUGUUCUAACAUUUUCAUCUUAUAUUUUUAUAUCAAUUAGUUUAUAUUAACUUUAUUUUUUUUGUUUUUUUUAUCAUAAAUAAAUUUAUAUUAUAUAUUUUUUCAUUUAUACAUAUUUUAUAUUUCACAUUUUCAUUUUUUUAUUUAAACAUGAAUUUUUAAUGCAUGCAUGAGAGUCUUUCUAAAUACAAAAGUAUUAUGCCUAAAAGAAUAUACAAACGUAUUAGGUAGUUGUGGGAAAGAUAAAACGAACAUUGUAGUUUAAUAUAUAAUUAAAAAGAAUCCAAAUAUUAUUUGACUUUAUCUAAAGUUAAUUAUUAAUUACAUAUAAUUAAUCACAACCUUGCAUUAAUUUAUAUUUAUAUAAAAACAAGUGAAAUAGAGAAAGUGGAUAAAAAAAAAAAAGAAAAAUCCACCAAACUCAAUCAAAAUAUCAAUUUCUUUUUGCUAUAUUUUUCUAUCUCUAACGAUUUACCUAAAAAAAUGAGAAAAAUGAUGGGAAAAGGGUUAGUAAAAGAUUCUUCAAAACAUGAAAAGUCUUAAGAACCGUGAUUAAAAUAGAUAUUAACAUUAAUAAAAUGUUUGGUUAUAAUUAGAAAUAUUGAGGUUUCAAACCUUACGAAAAUAUCAAUAAAAAAUUUGAAUAAAUUAUGGAAUGAAAUCGUUAUAAUUAAUUAAUAAAAGUACUUUUAUUGUGACUUAAUUAGAAUUAACCAUUUUUAAUAGCAAUGUCUAUAAAGUAAGACAACCAUUUAGGUGCCUAUUGUUAGUGCAUGUGCAAAUGUUAAUAAGAUAACCUAGAUUUAAAAAUAAAUGGAAAAGUAGUUACCCAAGUUUAAGAAUGCUUUCGAGUGAAAUAUUCCACGAGGUUAAAAGUAAGUUGAAUUUUUUGGUUGGAGGAAAAAUACAAAUAUAACAAUUAUAUAAUCAAAAUAAUUAAACAUACAACAACAUUUUAAAAAAAUUAUAAAUAUAUAGCAAAAUCUAUUAAAACCUGUCAAAGAAAGAGUUAUCUCAAUAGAUUUUGCUAUAUUUAUAAAUUUUUAAAAAUGUUUUUAUAUAAUUAAUAAUUAUUUCUAAAACUGCUAUCCAUUAUAAUUAUCCUAAUUAAAAUUUAGAGCUCUUCCUCUAAAAUUUCGAUUUAUAUUGUCCAUGACUUUCCUACGUGUCAUUCAUUAUUGUUAUAUUUAUUUAUAUUAGUAGGUUAAAGAGUUGACCUUUUACUAUAUUUAAUAUUAUUUAUUAAUAUGUCAAUAUGAACUUUUAAUUAAUUUAAGGAAGCCCUAAUAAUUCCAUUAAGAGAUUUUUUUUUUCAUCAAUAUAUAUAUAAUGUAUUUUUAACAAAGCUAUAAUAGAGGUUGAGAUUAGAAGAAAAGUCUUCUAAAGUAAAACAAUGAGAGACAAAACAAAUAUAGACAAAAAAAAAUCAUAAAAUUGCAUCACACACAAGAUCAAACGAACCAAAAAUAUUUUUUAAAAAUUGAAUAUUCAAUCUCACUCUCACAUGUUACUUCAAAUUAAUGUACUCAUUAACUAAUAAAAGUACUUUACCUAUAUAUAUAUAUAGGACAUGAGGUUUUUUAAAAAAAAAAUCAUUAUCGACGCCUUCUCCUCUCAUCGUCUAUUUUAAAAAAAAAGUCUACACAAAUACACGUGUAAGAAUUUAUUAUAUAAUAAUUUUAUUUAUUAAAAAUUUAUAAGAUGUAAAUCGAUCCAUAUCUAAAAGUUUAGAACUAAGGGCUAAAGUUACGUAAUUUUAUAAUUACGUUUGGUGAUAGAAAAUUAAGGUUUUAGGGGCAUAAUUGCAGUUAGAAUUAUAUGAAGGGUGCUUUUUGCAAUUACUUCAUACACUCAACAUCAAAGUGAGUGUUUAGUACACAAGGCAUGUCAUUCAUUGUAUGUCCACUCCACAUAUAUAUACAAUACAUAUAUGCUCAAAGGUGUUAUUAACAAAAAUGAUAAUUUUUUGAAAAAAAUAUCUUAUAUCAAAACAACUAUGUCUUUGUCCUUACUAUCAGUUAAUUUCCAUCUAUAUCUUUAUUCUUUUACAUUUCUACAUUUUCAAUCUUUUUCAAGGGGCAAAUUGACAUUUUAUGCCUUUUUUAUAUUUAUGAUAAUUAAUUGCAACCUUAAUUUUUAUAAAUAUAUAUAACAAAACUCUAAUAUAUUUACAAUCGUGUAACAAAAUCAACAAAAUUCAUGAAGCUAAUAAAAUAUUUUCAUAAAUUCCAUAUUUGUUCCUGAUAUUGCAAAUGAUUCGUCGCUUCUCUUUCCUCUUCUUCUUUACAAUUUUUUUAUCUUCUCUUCCAGAUUUCUUCAACUCCUUUGAUGUUCUUUCUUCUAUUUUUAUUCAUCUUCUUUUUCUUUCUUUCCUUCGACUCCUCUUCUAAAUAUUAAUUUGAUAUGAUCUAAACAAUCGCUUACCUCAACAUGAUCAAAUAGCAUGGUCAACACGAUUGUUUAGAUUUAAAGUCAUUUUCCAUCGAUUAAAAAGAACUACACGAUCGUGUGGAAACGAUUUAAGUGAUCACUUACCUAGUCAACAUGAUAUAUAUAUAUCAUUUAGCAUGGUUAACACGAUCAUUUAGAUUUGAAGCCAUUUUUUCUAUCGUUUCAAAAGAACUACACGAUCGUGCAGAUAUGAUCUAAACGAUCGCGUACCAUAGUCAGCUCGAUCGUUUAGUGUGGUUAACACGAUCUUUUAUAUUUAAAACAUUUUAUUUCAUCGUUAAAAAGAACUACACAAUCGUGUGGAUACUACCUACACGAUCAUGUAUCAUGUUCUAUGUCGAAGUGUCUCAUGAUCGUUAAUUUAGAAAAAGAAUUAUACAUGUCCAUGCGGCCGAUUAAUCGUGUGUUGACUAAGAUAUUUUUUAUAUAUUUUUUUCAUCAUUGGCCCGUAACUUCUUCCAUUUUCAAAAUUGUUCUAUACAACGUAAAUAUUAUGUUAAUUUAUUAUAUUUUUUAAAAACACUAAACAAAACAAUAAUUUGGGUGUGAACUAAUAAUGUUUCAAUAAAAGAAUAUAUACAUUUUUUAAAUUUUAAAAAGGGAAUGAUUAAAGCUCAUAUUUUGUUUUCGUAUAAUUUUUCGAUAAAACUCAUAAUUUAAGGGAAGGGAAGGGAAUGACUAUAAAAACUCAUAUUUUGUUUAUAUUUAUAUAUUUGGUUAAAUUACAUUUUUACCCUUGAAGUUUAAAAUUUGUACGAUUAGUUCUAAUGUUUCAAAUUUGCAACAAAAAAAAAAGUACUCAAAUUUUAGAAAAUGCUCGAUUACGAUCCAAUUGGGAUCGGUUAAAUAGACAACAAAGAUGAGACAAAUUUACAAACUUUAGUAUGAUGUGUGACGAAAAACGAUUCCAUGAAGAUGUGGCUACAUUCAAAUAGUACCAUUAUUUGUAAGGUGAAGUUUUUUUCGUCAAUCUCUUCCCUCUUCUUACAAAAUUUGUUGUUACCAAUUCUUCCCAUCACUUGUCUACUUUUCUUGAUUUUGACAAGAGAGAAAAAAAGUUGGUUGACAACAUCCUCGAGAGGGAAGGGUGGGAAGAGAAAACAUUUUUUAAAAUUUUUAUUUUCUGAAUAAUAGAUUAAAGUUAACAAUAAUAGUUAAUUUAAUGUCUAAAUUGUGAGGAAGUUGAUUGUUUAAUUUUAAAAUGUGGAGACAUACUUUAGGAUCAAAGGUAUAAUUUCUUUAUAUUUUGAAAGCUACCAAAUUUAGUUCACUACCUCUAUUUUAUUUUUUUUCAUUUGUUUUUCACGUGGGAACAAUGAAAAUAUGUAGUUUCCUUUCAAAUUGGAAAGCAAUUCUGUCUGUUGGCUACAAAGACAAAAUACUAUUUGUUUUUCUUUUUAUUGUCUAAAUAAUAAUAAUACACGUUAUUGCUAUGUAGCUUUUAAUGAAGUAUGUUAGAAGUGUUAGGUGUGUCGGAGGAUAGAGGUAAAUUUAAACUUAACUUUUGUGAAAGUUGGGAGGUUGGACAUAGCGUAUUCAUGAAUUAAGCUCGAGUAAGUUGGAGCAUUUGAGAUUAGAAAUAUAAGACUAAUCAAUCUUAUUUAUGUUUUAAGACUUUUAACGAGAUUGACAAGAGUUGGAUGAAAAUUAGGAAUAGGUUUUAAUCGAUUAAGCACAGAGAAGAAAAUUUUCAAUUUUUAGAGGUUGCAAAAUAUCACGACAAUAAUUAUGGACGACUAAGGUGUCCAAGCAAGAGAUGUAUGAAUUCAAAUUGAGACUCAUUAGAGGGUGUGGAGCGACAUCUAUUAACAACUGGAAUAUCCCCCAACUAUACAGACUAGGUAUAUCAUGGAGAGCCUGUGAACUUACACAGAGGUAUGCAAAGAUUUGAUGAAGGAACUAGCAUUAGUAACCCCUUUUGAAAUGUUGGAUAUGAUUCAUGAUUUACAAACUCCAAACGAAUGCGAAGAAGAGACGGAGGAAGAUUUGGAGAAUGAAAUGUCGUGUAACAGUGGGGUAGAUAUAGAAGAAGAGACAACAAACGUCGUAUUUCAUGAGUUAUUAAACCAAGCAAGUUGUGAACUAUACCUCGACUGUUCAGAAUUUUCGUCCUUGAACUUUUUUGUUAUGGUAAUGCAUUUAAAGGUUCUUAAUAGUUGGAGCAACAAGUCGUUCGAUAUGAUGUUAGAGAUAAUAAAAUGUGUGUUUCCAAUGUGUGGCACCAAUAUCUCUAGUUCAUUUUACGAAGCCAAACGAAAAUUGCGUGAGUUGGACUUGGGAUACGAGAAUAUUCAUGAUUGCAAGUACGACUGUGUAUUGCUCUAGAAGUGUUUGGGGAUUUGCAACAGUGUCCAACUUGUGGUGAGUUUCGAUACAUGGUUAGUUCUAAUAGAUCAAGAAAAAAUUCUGCAUAAAGUAAUCCUACUACUUUCUGUUGGUGCCGAGAUUUCAACGCUUGUUUGUAUUGCAAGAAAGCUCGACAGACAUGAGAUGACAUAAGGAUAAAUGAGUGAGAACAAAGGAUUUGUUGAGACGUCCAACUGAUGUAGAGGGAUGGAAGCACUUUAACUCUGAAUUUCCUGAUUUUGCUCUAGAUUUACAGAACGUCUGUUUGGAAUUAGAUGCAAAUGGGUUUAAUCCAUUCGGUUAUAUGAGUGUCUCGUACAAUAUGUGGCAUGUGGUGUUAAUUCCUUACAAUUUGCCACCAUAGAAAUGCAUAAAAGAGUCAAACUUUUUCAUGCCAUUGUUCAUUUUUUGUCCAAGAUCUCCUGGUAGGGAAACGGAUGUGUACCAACAAACCAUUGAUUGAGAAACAGAAAGAGUUGUGGACUUUUGAUGUGCGUACGUAUGACUGUAUUACAUAUCAAUUUUUUCAAUUGCACGCAACCUUGUUGUGGACAAUUCAUGACUUCUCGACAUAUGGUGACCUAUCUAGGUGGAGUAUGAAGGGGUAUCAGACAUGUCUCAUUUCAUGGAAAAUAAAUCGUCGUUGGAUAAGAGAAAAAUAGCUUUCAUGUGGGACAUCGACGCUAUCUUUCAGAUAACUACAUGUUUGCCGUCGAAGUAGGCUACAUGAUGGAAAAGUCUAGCGUAAGCUAAGACUCCUCCAAUAGUAAUAAAUGAGCAUGAAAUCUUCAAACAACUAGAUUCGUUAGAAUUUCCACUUAUGACUAAGUAUCAUUCGUUAAAAGAUAAGAAAAGAAAUAAAGCUUUUGAUUGGUACAAGAAAAGUAUUUUCUUUGAUUUUCUUUACUGGUCGAGACUACUAAUUCGUCAUAAACCUGAACAACUUAAUUAUAUUUUUUUUGUUAAUUAUAUCGAUUUCAUAUUUUGUUUUAUAAUUUGUAAUUUUUUUAAUUUUAAUAAUAUGUUACAAAUUUUGUUUCUUUCAAUUUGAAGCGGAACUGAAAAUAAUAUACCUUACAAUAAAAAAUAAAAUAAAGAAAACAAUAAAAUGAUAAAAUAAUAAAAUAAUAAAAAAGAAAUUUAUCCCAACCUAGAAAACAGGUCGGGAUCCUGUGUUCACCCUGACUUACCCAUACGACAUCGGGGAAACUUUUCUCGAUGCAUGUCGAGAGUACCCUUUUCUUGACGCACAUAGACAACAUCAAGCGUAUUCCACUACCGACGUCUUGCCUGUGUCGGCAUGGACAGUGUUGGGAAUAACCCUAUGUUGACGUCUUCACUUUGAUGCGUCGUAGAAAGCUGCCCCGGCGUUGAAAUCCUGACGUUCUAGUUGACGGAGAAUUAUGCGUCGAUAAUACUUUGACUGACACCUUUACUAUUUUUGCCGACGAUUUGUGGUGUUAGAAGUCCUCCGCUUUCUUGUAGUAGGAGUUGCUCACAAGUCCUGACGUGUUAUGAAGUGCGAUGAGAGAGACUGCACCAAACGCGUAUAUGAAUCGACAUUAGGAGCUUGUCCUUACUUUCGACGUCAAAAUGAAGCGCGUUGGGAAAAGGAAACUCCUGACACCGAUUCAUAUACGUGCUAGGAAAUCGUCUCCCAAUGCAUUAUUUCUUUCAACUCGUCUCCUGACGGUCCUGUAUGCGUCGGGAUCCUUUCUAGACGCAUUUGGAUAUAUAUGUCAAUGCUUUUAUGUGUCGAAAGAGCCACUAUUUCUUGUAAUGAUAUUUGAUUCUUUGGUUCUUUCUCUUGAAAAAAUAAAUUUAACUAUUAAAUUUUCUGAUAUUCUUGGAUAAUCAAAUUUAGGCUUGAUGAACUUCUUCAAUGAUUGACCUUUAUUGGGUUUGUUGAUCUUUUAGAGAAUCGACCUUCGAACUUAUUGGUCUUUUCUUAAAUGAUCGGUAUUUAGGUUAGAUGAUUAAUUUGGAUUGAUCAUUGGUUUGGUGAUAUGCUUAGAUUUGCCUUACAAUUUUAAGAGAGUUAUAUUUUUUUGAUCUUAAGAGUUUUGAUCAUAUAAAUUUUAGAUUUUAAGAUCUUUAAAGCCUCCAUCUCCAAAAUUUGAGAACUUCAAAGUUUCAAUUUUUAGAGAAAUCUGUGUGCUUUAAUUUAGUCUUUUAGAAUAAUUUAAGAACGUCGAAAUCUUCCCAGCUUUCAAUUUUUCAGAAGGUGAUUAGUCUCAAGAUUGAUAAGAACUUUAAUGUCUUGAGAGCUUCAAAUCUUCAGAGCUUCGACUUUUCAUCGUCAAUUCUAUGGCCCAAAUUUUCAUGGGGCUUGAAUUCGGUCAGGUUCAAGAUACUUUAAUUAGAGAUAACUGUGAAACUCGCAAAAUAUUAAAUAACAAACUGAAGAAUAGCAAAUCCCCAAAAUAUUAAGAUUUAUAGCAAAAUUGUCGAUUGCAUAAUUUUUUUGACUUUUUUUGACUUUUUGCAUAGAAUAACAUUUUGAGAAUAUGAUAUAGUAAUUAUAGCACGUUGUUUUAGAAUUUUGCAAAUAUGACAAAAACUCUCCAUCUUAAAUUUGUUAUUAUUCUUAAACUGUCAUUCAAUAACUUAUUUCUCUUUCUUUUUUUAAUGCCUUACUCAUUAUUUAUUUAUUCUCUCACUUUUUCAAGUCCUAAUUAUUUGUUUAUUCUUAUACUAUAAAAAUUAUUUAUUAUUUAUGUCUUAAUCUUAAUUUUAAAAUUAUAGUACAAUAAUUGCAAUAUGAAAGAUAAUAUAAUGAUUGUUGAUCGAAGUAAUUUAACUUCAUUUGUGGUUCUUUUUUUUUUUUUUACUUUCUUCGAUGUGUAUUUUAAGUUGAAUAUGAUUCCAAAUGAUUUUAUUUUAUUUUUUUACAUCAAUUUUUUUAUUUUUCUUUGUCUCAGUUUUGUAUAUCAAUAUUGUGAUAUACUUGUAUUAUAUGUAGUAGUCAGUUAAUAUACUUAUUACGUGAUUUUCGAUUUUUUAAAUUUUAUGCAGUUUAUUAGAGUAUUAUUAAGUAUAUGAAUGAUGUAACUCGGUGUAUCAUUAUCAAGAAUAUCAAUAAUAUAUUGUUAAAGCAUAUCAGUAAAGUGAAUCAUUAUCGAGUAUAUUAAUCAAGUUUACAAGUGUAUAUCAAAUCUAUAAGUAGGACUUCAAGAAUAUCAAGUGCAUUUAAUCAAUCAAUUGUAUAAGUGAAGAAUACUAAAUGUAUCUGCAGUGUAACAAGUGUAUCAAACAUAUAUUAGUAAUGUUUUAGGUGUGUAUCAAAAGAUAUCGAGUGUAUCAAAGUGAGUAUCAGGUAGAUCAAGUGUAUCAAUCAAAUGUAUCGAGUGUAUCAAGAAGUAUCAAGUGUAUUAAGGGGUGUAUUAGGUGUAUCAAACGUAUAAUAGUAACGAGGGUAUUUAUGACAUUUUACCUCUUGAUAUGUGGGUCGGGCUUCAAUUUUGCCAUUUUCGCAAAUAAUAAAUUGUGUGUCCUAUAGACUUAAUUAUUAUAAUUUAUUUUGUCAUUUUUUUCAAGUACCCCUUAUAUAAAACAAUUCAUUUCUUACACAUACAGUGAAUGAGGCAGAAUAUCACAAGUUCAUGAAUAUAGUGUAUUUGCAAACAACAUUAAAUUUUGGAAAAUCUUAACUAAAUAUGAUAUUUUCGAGUUUGAUAAGAUUACACCAACAUCCCUAAAUAUAUGACGGUAAUUUAUAUCAUAUUUUUGGAUUCUUAAAAUUUAAAUCAAUUAAUUAACAAUUUAUUGAUAUAAUUCAUAAUAGAUAUGUUUAACAAUAAUGUGAAUUCAAAUUUUAGAUAAUGUCACUAAAAUAAUAGCAAAGAUCAAUUCAAUAGUUUUUGAUUCUUUAUAUUUCAUACUAUUUAUCAAAUCUUUAUUAAAUAAUACAUAAUACAUAUUUUUAAGGUGAUUUUUAAAAAUAAAAUAAUGGACAAACUAUUUCAUGCCCAUAGCAAAAUUUUAAUCCAAGACCAAAAUGGAUAACUAAAAUUUUAACCGAAGCCAAAGUAUUAAUGUUUUUUUUUGCUAUAGGAUGUAAAUACUUUCCAUUUUCUUCUAUUUAUGUAAAUUUAUUACAUGAACACAUCUUCAUUUUUGUCGACGAAAAUAUAUAUGUGGCCAAAAAAGUUGUGUAUUGCGUGGGCACAUCAUCGUCUUUGCCAACAAAAAUAUACAAAAAUAUAUAAGUGGACAAAAAUGUGUGUGGUGAAAAGGAAAAUUUUUAAGUUGGCUUUCUGCCGACAUUUACUUUUGUUUAUCACCACGUAUCGUGUGUUGGUAGAUAUUUUAAAUAUGUGCCCUCAUAAUUUAUGUGGCGAAAAAUCCUACAUUUUUAUACAUAUUUAUGGCGACGCUAGACCUAUACAUACGACGACGCAAGACUUAUAACGUAGGCAUAAGUGUUUUUUUUUAAAAAAAAAAAACCUAAUUUUUCCAAAUAUUUUCCUCCUUUUCUUUUCUCUCACGCAGUUCCUCCUUUACGUGAAUGGCUUGCUGCACCCCAAACACCAAGAUUUUCUUUGCUCACGUUGAUUGCCCAUCUUCGAUUUCACUCCUUGUCGUCACUGCUCUUCGCUCAACGGCUCGCUGCACCCCUUGCUUAUCGAUUUGUAUUAACUCAAAUAAGGUCUGAAUUGUAUUAUUGCAUUAAAAUUUCAGUACCUCAUCUGAUACACAAAAGCAAUAAUUCUCCACUGAAUUCUUAUGAAUUCUUAGUAAUUCUUUGGAUGUAUCUUCUUUUUCAUUUUCCUUACUGUAUUCUCUAAAUAAGAAAUUUUAACAUCCUCCCGAAGUUGAUCAAGGCUAAAAGGCUAGAUGCACAAUUGAGGUAUGUGAGGUGCUUAAAGUACUUGAACUAAUCUCGAGGUUUAGAAAAAACUUUUGCAUUAAACUGUAUGUUAGGAUGAUCGUAGCUUACUGUUCAUCAUUCUUUUACUUUAAGACUCUAGGAUGUGCAAAUAAGUGGCUCAAUCUUUGCAACCAUCCACCAAAUUUAGUUGAAUGUUCCAAGGCAUGGUGGUUAUUGUGUCAACCUUCUCCAAAUCAUAGCAAACUCAACUACCUAUCAAUGGAACAAAAAACAUCUAUAAGAAACAAAUAAAUUGUAAAACUUUUAUUUUGAAUGAGAAAAAAAAUAUCUAUUGAAUAUGACAUUUUUAAAUAUAUUAGUAAUUUAGAAACGUCACGUUGAUAACUCUAUUGAACAAAACAUUAAUUAAAUAGUGACUUUUUAACUAGAAUAAGAAACUUUUUUGAUAGACAUUAAUAUUACGCAUGAAUAUCCUUCAACUAUGAUAGCAAAUCAUGCAUAUAUUUCAUAUUUAUUGUAUGCUUGAAUUAUAAUAUGUUGUGGCUAUCAUAUCGCUACAGUAGCCAAUCAUGUAUAUAUUUUACACUUAAUAUAUGUUUGAGUUAAACUGCUACUUUGGACACGUUUUUCGAUAUUUUGUGUUUGAUUAUGAGUUUAGAAGGCACAUUUGAGCAUUUUGAAAGGAUUUUUUUGGACUUAAAAGGUGAUUUUUAGUUUGAUAUUUAAGACAGUUAGUAGGUGAGUUUUUGUUGGAUUUUAAUUUGAAAGUUACAAUUGGGUUUUUGGUUGUUUUGACAUAUAAAAGGCUACACAAACCCAUUUUUGAGUUAAAGUACCACUUAAACAUUUUGGAGGUGUUUUGGGGGUAGGGAAAGGAAAUGAUUAGUCAUUUCUAUGUAUGGGGGGCAAGAAUUAAGGUGGGAAAGGAAUAAAUUAAUUUCCCACUUAAUCCUUCUCUUUCUUCCAUAAAUACAAUCACAUCAAACUUUUCUCUUUUUUCAAAAUAUAGAUAUGUUUUUCUUAAUAAUUAUAUUUUAACAACUAUAAGUAUCUUUUCACUUUUCCAUAACAAUUUUAUAUAUAUAUCCACAAAUACACAUAAUUAUGAAAUUUCUAUUAAAUAAACACUCCAAGAUAUUUAAUUAAAUUUAAAUUCAACAAUACUAAAAAUCUAAAUCCAAUGGUUAAUUAAAUAUUCAACCCUCGAGUAUUUAAUUAUGUUCAUCCUCAUUUGUUUAAAUCGAAUAUUAAUGAUAUGCAAUAUCUUAACAUUGCACUUACAAUAUCAAAUUUAAAAAAUGGAUAUAAUUUAUUUCGCACGUAACGCAUCAAUUAAUUUAUUGGCAGGAAAACUUUCGUAUAAAACGUACACAAUUGACAUUGUAUUUACGAAAACUAAUAGAGAGCAUGUUUUCCAAUAAAAAAUCGAUAAAUUAAAAUUAUGAAUAUUUGUGUAUUGGAUUUACUAUACCAUUUUUUUUUAAAAAAAAUACAAGAGUAUGAAUUAAAAAAAUAAAUAAAUAAUAAUAAUAAUAAACUUUUUUUUUGUCAUAAUCCUUCCUCUAUAAUCCUUCUCACUUAUUUCUUCCCCGUAUCUUUGAAAAUGCAACAAAAAAAGAAAAAAAAAAGAGGAGCAUAAUUUUUAAUGUAUUGGAUUUAUAUAUCAAAUUGAAUAACACGUUAAAGACAAAUGAAAAAAAAAAUACAAUUUAUUUGUGAACUAAAUUUACAAUACAAAUUUCAAAAACAUAUUUCACACAAAGAAAUAAUAAUAAUACAAUUUGUUUUGUGUAUUGGAUUUAAUUUUUAAAAAAAUAAGAAAAAAAACUACUGUACAAAUGAAAAAAAAGAAAAAAAAAAACUUCACUUUUGAAAUUGUAAUGAGUGUACGUUAAAGUAAUAAAAUAUUUAUACAAAAUCACCAAAAAUAAAAAUAAUACAAAUUUUUGGUGUAAUUGGAUUAGGGUACAACUUAACUGAAAUAAUGAAUUUAAAUACAAUUUUUUGUUGUAAAUGUUUUAUGAUACAAACAGACAAAAGGUUAUACAAAUGCAAAAAAUAUUAGCACAUUUUCAUUUUGUAUUGGGUUCACGAAAAAAAAAACAAGAAUUUCAUACCCAUGAAAAAAAUUAGUUUUUUUCGUACAAUUUUUUUUACACAAAUGAAAAAAAAUACAAAUUUUUUUAACAUAAUCUUUAUCCAGAGAAAUAUUAUAAAUAAUCUCUCAUAAUCCUUCCAGUUAUUCCUUCUCCCCAAACAACGAUUAGAAAUAAUCAUUUUCUUUUCAUAAUUCCCCUUUCCUUAUUCAUUUCCCCUCAUUUUCCUUUCCUUCCCCCAAACACACCCAAAAAGCUAAUAUGUUAUGGUAAUUAUUGCUAUAGGGUCAACUUUUUGUUCAUACUAUUUGAAGAUGAAUAAGGAUUGGAUUAAACUAAAAAAUAGAUUUUCAAGUGAUUAUGUUGAUGGAGUUUCUUAAUUUAUGGAAGUGGCUAAGUGUCAUGUAAAUGAUGUAGGAAAAACUAGGUGCACAUGUAAGUAUUGUCAAAAUUCAAUGACACAAACAUUGGAUGGAGUAGAGCAUCAUUUAUUUGCGAAUGGAAUAUCUUCUUUAUAUGAUAAAUGUAUUUAUCAUGGAGAAGCAAUGAACUUUGCUAGAUUUGAACAGAGUACUACUUCGUUAGAAAGUGAUAGAUUAAGUAGAGAGUCUGAUGUUGGCAACAAGGACGAUGAUAUUUUAGAUCUUUUAACUGACUUGCAAGGUUCAAUGAUAGCAAGGGAAGAAAAUUUUGAUGACGGAGAUGUAAGUUUUGAUGAUGAAUUUUCAGAAGAUGUUGAUGACAUGGACACUAGUAACAUUUUUAGGAGUUGAUGAAUGAAACACGUAAACCGUUGUAUCCUGGAUGUACCAACUUUUUCUCAUUAAAUUUUUUGGUGAAGUUAAUGCAAAUCAAGAUUCUGAAUAAUUGGAGCAACAAAUCGUUUGAUAUGCUAUUAGAAUUGUUGAAAGAUGCAUUUUCAAUCGGUACAUUUAUAACUAAAUCAUUUUACGAAGCUAAGAGAAAAUUAUGUGACUUAGGGUUAGGAUAUGAUUUCAUCCAUGCUUGCAAAAUAUGACGGUAUAUUAUUUCGAAAAGAAUUUGCUAAUUGUCAAAGUUGUCCACUAUGCAGUAAAUCUCGAUAUAAACAGAGAGUGAAAAAGGAAAGAAGAUUCCAAAUAAGGUUUUGCGUCACUUUCCACUAAUUCCAAGGAUGAAACUAUUGUUUUUUAAUCAAAAUAUAUCGCUUCUAAGAUGAGAUGGCAUAACGAUAAACAGAGGAUGUUUUACGACGAUAUCUAGCUGAUGAUGUAGAAUGGAAGCACUUCGAUAGAGAAUUUUCUCAAUUUUCCUCAAAGCCAAGAAAUGUUCGUUUAGGCUUAGCUUCACACGAUUUUAAUCCAUUUGGGAAUAUAAGUACUGCAUAUAGUAUGUGGCUAGUGGUGCUUAUACCAUACAAUUGUGGCUAGUGGUGCUUAUACCAUACAAUUUGUCCCUUGGAAGUACAUGAAGGAGUCCAAUUUUUUCAUGUCUUUGUUUGUACCUGGACCCAAAUCUCAUGGGAAAGAGAUUGAUGUAUAUUUGCAGCCCAUAAUUGAUGAGUUGAAAGAGUGGUGGAAUAAUGGUGUGCGAGCGUUUGACUGUACAUAUGAAGAGUAUUUUCCAUUAUAUGCAUGUUUGUUGUAGACCAUCAAUGAUUUUCCUGUAUAUGGUGACUUGUCGGGAUGGAGUACGAAAGAAUAUCAAGCAUUUCCUACUUGUAAAUAAGAUACGUCAUCGUUUGGGAUAAAAGGAAAAAUAUCUUUUAUGGGACACCAACGUUAUCUUUCUUCUAAUAAUAGUUGACGUCGAAGUCGACAAUAUGACAAAAAAACCCGAACGCAGGCCUCCACCAAUUGUAAUGAGGGGAGAUGAGACCUUACAACAAAUAAACUCCAUGAAUUUUCCAGUGCUAAGUAAGCAUUCAUCCAAGAUGAAUAAGAAAUGAAAACAUACUAUUAAUUGGAAUAAGAGAAGUAUAUUCUCUACACUUCCGUAUUAGUCUAAACUUCUUUUGAGACAUAAGUUGGAUGUCAUGUAUAUUGAAAGAAAUGUUUGUGACAACUUGCUUGACACUUUAUUAAAUAUUGAUGGUAAAACAAAGGACACAAUCAAUGCUCGUUUAGAUUUAGGAGACUUGAAUAUAUAAAAAGGAAUUACAUUUGCAAAGGCAAGGAACUAAGCUGAUAAAACCACAUGCUACGUCUACAUUAACCGGCACCGAAAGAAUAGACUUUAUAAGUUCUUAAAAUCAAUUAAAUUUCCUAAUGGAUUUGUCUCAAAUAUAUCACGAUGUGUGAGUGUCAAUGAUGGAAAAUUAUAGGGACUAAAGACUCAUGACUCUCACAUUUUACUCUAAUGACUUAUUCUCAUUGUUGCACGAGCAUACUUACAUAAGGGUGUGUGUACAACUAUCGUUGAGUUAUGUAAUUUUUUUCAUGAUUUGUGUGCGAAGACAAUACAUAUCAGUGACCUGAAUCGUCUGAAAGCCAAUAUUGUGAUCAUACUCUACAAAUUUGAAAGAAUUUUUUCACCUGCGUUUUUUGACGUAAUGAUACAUCUUGCAAUUCAUUUACCGGCUAAGACAAAGAUUGUUGGUCCAAUAAUCUAUAGUUAAAUGUAUCCCAUAGAAAGAAGCUUACGAACAUUAAAACAAUAUGUACGAAACAAAGCUUGUCAUGAAGGUUCCAUAGCAGAAGCAUUUCUUAUGAAUGAAUGUUUGACCUUCUACUCGAUGUAUCUAACAGGAAUAGAGACAAGAUUCAGUAGGAAUUCACGAAAUGAUGACUCAAUGAGCAGAAAACUUGGUUGUGGGGACUUUGAUGUAUUUAAAUAAAAUAUGUGACUAAUGGAGGGGUCAAUUGUGAGGACGCUAUCUGAAGAAGAGAGACGAAUGUGUCAUUGGUAUGUUCUGAACAACUGUUCUCAAAUAGAAUCGUAUCUCAGGUACAUUUUAUACAUUCAUUUACUUGUCAGUUCAUAGUGUAUAUAAGUAAGUCGAAAUUCUUUUUAAUAUUUAAUAUGAUUGAUAAGCAGAGAAAAUUUGAGUUUGAUAAAUACCAAAUGAGAGGAUGGACUAGAUUUAUUUAGAAGGCACCAAUUAAAAUUUCCUAAUUGGUUUAAUGUACAUGUAAGUGUUGUUUUUAGCUUCAAAGUAUGAUGUUUUACUAUUGAGGUAUUAGUAGUUAUUCUAACCCACAUAAUAUUAUGUAGAUGUAUUCAUUACGUGAAAAAGGUGAAGCAUCUGAUGAUCUUUACUCCAUAGUGUUGGGCCUAUUAAUCAAGUUCGCACUUACAGUGGUUGCUUUGUAAAUGGAUUACAUUUUGAUUCAAUAAAGCGUGACAAUCGCCAGACUACUCAGAAUAGUGGAAUCAUGGCAUAUGGAGAAACCAAAGCCGACAAAACGGAUUACUAUGGUCUAUUGCAAGAGGUCUUGGACUUAGAAUACCCUAAGUGUAGACGUGUAUGUCUUUUCAAAUGUAAUUGGUUUGGAACCGAUGUUAAGAAGAACAAAUUUUGUUCUAAUUUAGGCUUUAAAAUAAUUAAUACUUCUCGUUUGGGUACACUGAUGACCCAGACAUAUUAGUUACACAAGUCGUGUAGGUUUUCUACACUGACGACCCAAAACUCCGCAAUAAUUGAAAAUUUGUGCAAAAUGUCCAAAAUAAACAAGUAUGGGAUGUCCCAUAAGUUGAAAAAUUAGAAAAAGAGUUGUUAGAAGCAUCUAGUUCAAUUGGGUUUGAUAAAUCCAUACAUGAUAUCCCAUUUUGUAGAGGCGAUGUUAAACCUACUGUUUUUUAUAAUCAAGAGAUAGAUAAUCAAGAUCAAUCCCCAAUCGAUGACGACUUUAUAAAUGACGAACCUGAACAACUAGAAUCUUUGGAUUCAUAUGGUAAUGAAUAAAGGGUAUAUAUUAUAUGUUUAUCAAAUUUAUUUACGACAUGUUAUUUUAAAGUCUAACCACUAAUAAUUAUUUUUGCAGCAUAAUGGUACAUACAGAUCAAGCACAAUUGGCAUUGACUGAAGUUGAACAAACAAACACUACACCAGUUGAUCCUUCCACUCAUCAAGACGGUAUUAAUAUGAUAUGUAAGUUUAUUUCUUAUACAUUACUGAAAUGAUCUAAAAAUAGUUUUACUUUUAGGAUAUCAAUCACAAACUAAAAAGUGAGGAAAUGAUGUGAGAGGAUACGGUCCAAACAUAGAAUUGGACAAAUUUGUAGAAAAACGUGGAAAGAUCAAGAUAGAGAUUAACAAAGAGGAAGAAAAACCAAUGACGGCAUUUGCCCCUAAAAUUGGGUUAGGCAUUGGUACUGUCGUUCGAAACACUAUUCCAUUGAGUUGAGGGAAUUGGGAGGCGGUACCUAUAGGCGUAAGGAAGCUCGUGAUUGAUCGGUUGGAGGUAUGUUUAUGUUUAAUUUAUGCCUUCUUAUAUUGUUUAAAUGUAAAAGUUGUCCAUUUAUACAUAUAUUAUUAAAUAUGUAGACAAAUUUUGAAUUUGACCCAACUGACAUAAUUGUGAGAAAAUACUUAGAAAAAAAGAUGCAUAAUACUUUUAGAGAUCAAUUUAGAGCAGGUUUGAAUUGUAUGUACUUGAGUUGAAAUAUUUUGUGGCUAUCCUGCGGUGGCAACCAAUCAUACAUACAUGACAUUUUCAUAAGAACUGUCCACGUUUCUCUGUAUCGGUAAAGACGAAUAUUCUUGUAGUGUUUGUUGUUGGACAAGAUUGCAACAACCUCCUAUAUGAUAAUGGUAAAUAUAUAUACAAGAUUUUCAGGUUUGUUAUAUUUUAAAAAAUUUAUUAAAUACUACAUAAUAUAUAUUUGAAUAACAAUUUGAAAUUAAAUUUUAGAUACUCCUCAUAGAAUAAUGCCAAAUAAAAAUACAAGAUUUUCAGCUAUUUUAUAUUUUUAAACAAUUUACUAAAUAAUAUAUAAUAUAUUUUUAAUAACAAUUUGAAUUUGAAUUUUAGAAUUGUAAUUAUGUCUCAAUGGGACUUUUGCAAUUAUUUGAAUCUUCUUCUUUUAUGUUUUAUUUGAGAAAAAAAAAAAAAAAAAAAGAAGAUUGAGAGGGGGGCAACCGAUGCAAGAGACAAACACUGUGUGAGAGAGAAAUUUUUUCUUUUAAACAAGAGAGAAGAAAAGUGCGAUCGACAGAGAGAAAGACGUCGGAGUUUCGACGUUAGUGGCUAUGGGCAUCUGACGGCAUCUGACGUUGGUCAUGAGUUUGCGGCAAGUUCUGACGUUCUGGCGUUUGUUGGAGUCAGAUUUAGCCAACUUUCAUGGAUUUAGCUGCAAGCAGGAUGAUAGAAGGCUCGAGCAGUGUUUAUGGUGAGUUUCAUCGUUCAUGUUUUGUUUUUCAGCCUUGGUUCUUCUUAGGGUUUUCAGUAGGUUAUUCGACAUGUGAGUCUCCGGUCGGAGGAGCCGGCAAGAUGAAAAUUUCACAAUCUUACGUCAGAGGAGCCAACAAGAAGAAAAUCCAAGUAUGAAGAGUUUGAAGAGUUUGAAGGGGACGAGCUGGAAACUCCAAUAGUUUCUGCAACUAUGGAAGUUUGAUGUUGAUAUGUGUUAAUUGUGUGUUGGGAGUAAGAUUUUAAUUAUAGGGUAUUUGUGGUUUGUUUAAUAAUUAUAUUUAGGAUUCAAUUUUUUUUAUUUAGGUAUGGGCAUUUAAGACAUUUGUUCGUGCAAUUAUUUUCUUAUACUUUUUUAUUUUUCUAUUUUAUCAAUUUAAAUAAAGAUUUGUUGUUAGAGAAAUGUGUGAGAAUGGCAAAAUAACAUUGUGGUGUUUGGAAAAUAGCAAACAUAAAAAGUAAUUUGAUUUUUAGCAAAAUUGCAAAAGAUAUAAUUUUUUUUUGAGAAUUUUUCAACCGAUUUUAUCUCUUGAUAGGAUGACUAUCAUUUUGUUAAUUACAAUGUAUUUGUGAACCGUAAAAUAAUAAAACAUAACACAUAAUUACGAUUACGAUGCAUUUGGAUAUCAUUCAAUUUUGUAAUAAUAUUAAAUAAAUAUUUAUUUUAUCUAUUAAUCUCAUUUAACUAAAUUAUAGAUUCAUGUCUUAAAUUUAUAACAGAUUAUCCUAUUACUUAAUUGUAGGUUUUGUUGGAAGAUUAAAAUUUUAAAAUUUAAAAUAAUAUCUUUGGUUUAAAAUUAUGCAUUUUAUAUAAUAACAACUUCAUAUAAAUGGUGUAUUUUUCCUAUAAUUAUGCAUAUAGCAAUUAUACCAUAUUCGACCAUAUUAAUAAUAAUAAAUUGUUAAGCAUUAUUUUAGAGAAUAAAUGGUAACAUAACGAUAAUGCAAUCUUAUUAUAUAAUUAUCAUUAAAUUAGGAACAUUUUCUAUAGAUAUUAUUUACUACCAUUUAAAAAUUGAGUUUAAAUUCUUGCAAAUUCUCCUAAAAUCGUAUUAUUACAUUGAUCUCCCUAAAAUAAUGACAAACAUAGAUUUAACAUUUUUGGAUUAUUUAUAUUCCAAAAUAUUUAUAAAAUUACCCUAUUUAAAUUUUGUAUUUAAAUACCUCCAAAAUACAUAUUGCUCGUAACAAAUUGAAUUUAAAAUUUUAUCUUCCUCAAAAAUUGUGCUAAUUGGUUGAUUUUUAUUUUUAAAAAAUUGUUUUAUUGUGCCAAUGGUAGAAAUAAUUAUUUUCAGACGUGUUUUUAAAUUACGUUAAUAUCUAUGUUUAUUUUCAUCUAGUAAGAGUCUCAAACACACCAUAAUUGUGAUUCACAAUCUUAUAAUUUUAUAGUCAUCUAUUAUACAAACAUAUUUCAAUCAGCAGAUUUGGAAUACACAAAAAAAGAUAAAAAAAUUUGGUCAUCAAGAUGUAGUAUCAUUACCUAUACAAUUUAUUUCAAUAGGUCAAAAAAACGAGAUAUGAUAUUGAAAAUAACAUAAAUUUACUUUAUUUUGUAAAUAACAUUCAAAUUUGAUAAAUCUUAAUUAAACAUGUUAUUUUGUACAAUUUAUUAAAUAAUACAUGAUAUAGUUUUAAUAACAAUUUGAAUUUAAAUUUUAGAUCAUUCCCUAAAAUUAUAUAUAAAUCCAAUAAUUUCACUUUUUUAUAUUUUUAGCCAAUUUUACUUGUAUAGAGGAAAAUUCUUAUCUUAUUGGUAUAGUGUACUUGUGUAGGUUAAAAUGAUGAAAUAUAACUCAGAAUCACGAAUAUAUUGUAUUUGCAAAUCAUUAAGUUGUGUAAAAAUAUUAAAUAAAUAUUUAUUUUCGAAAUGAAUUUGAUUGAAUCAACAUCCCCUAGAUUUAAAGGCUGCAAUUUAUUCUAGAUUUUCUUGUUUGUUGGUUUCAAAUCAAGUAAUUAACAAUUUAUUUAGUUGUGGUUGUUCAAAUUAAAAUUGUAUCUUACCCCUAUAAUUAUGAUGCAUUUAAUGUAUAUAUGAUUAUUCUAAUAAAGUUUUGAUAUUCCUCUAUAAUCAUGAUACUUGAUUGAUUUCCUAAAAUGAUGUCAAACAUAAUUUCAAAAUUUUGGGAUUAUCUUGUUAAUAUUCUUUAUCUAUUCUCCAUAAUUGUUAUUUAAAAAUAGAUUUUAAAUUUUGAUUUGAAACCGUCAAAAUAUUAAAAUUGAUUUAAAAAUUUAUAAAAAUAGUUAUUGUUAACAAUAAUUUGAAUUUAAAAUUUUGUCAUCCCUAAAAUCAUGCUAAGAUAUCUUUAUAUCUCCAAAAUAAUAGCCAACAUAAAUUUAACAGUUAUUUAUAUUCUAUUAUAAAAAAUAAAUAUUUUAAUUUUGGAAGGAAUUAAUUGAGAAGAAAAGAUUUGUUUUAUUUAAAUUGUAAAAGAAAAAAAAAAGAAAGUGAAGAUAUUUAAGGGAAAAUAAUAAUAUAAUAAUAUUACUAUUACUAUUCAUCAUCUUCGUCACUCUCACCAAACCCUGACUGCCGCUGACACCUCCAUCUUCGUUCGCCAUCCCAUCCAUUCUGUUGAUCGAGAACUAAACCGCAAGGAAACAUCUCCUCUGUUGCACGCCACUAGUCGCAUGUUUACUUCAUCCGAAGUCAAGCGUCUUUGUGCCGCUUGUUCAUUCGCAUCGCGCGUCGCACGCUCAGCCGCGUCGAUCUCCUUUGUCUGCAUUCGUUCACUGGUUAUACCAAAACUUCCAGCCACAAAACUUCCAGUCACCGUCAAUCCCCGAAUUUUAGUGACUCUGUUGUUGUGGGGGUUUUGUGACAUACAAUGUAUCUUUUCUAAAAUUCAAGUUGAUAUAUUGUUGCUAUAAUUUAACAAACGAAGAAGAAAAUCCAUUGAAGAAGCUCACUUUUGCGCGAAACGAAAAAGAAUCUAUAAUCGGUUUGAUGAAGAAGAUGGUUGGCAAGAAGAAAUUUUUUUAAUUUGCAGUAAAUGUAUAAAGACUUUGAAGGUUUUGAAGAGGACGAAGCUUAAAGCUCUAAUAUUUUCUGCAAAUGAUCAAAGACUUUGAAGAUUUGGUAGAAUCUACGAAAGUAGAAGGUAAUGAAGUUGGAUUCUUUUCGGCUUUGAAUACCUAAACAUACACAAUUUCAACAAGGAUGUGUUAUUUAAUUACAAGGUAUUUAGGUUUUAGGUAAACAAUUCCACAAUGGACUUAGCGUUUUUGUGAUGUCAGGACGAAUCUUAAAUUAAUGGCCAAAAGUUCUUAUUCAAUCCGAACUACAAGCGAGUAUUAAAGAAAAGAAAUGAAAGCAAGGGCGAGAGAAGAAACGGAGGUGAUGGAGCAUAAAUUAAAACGAUUUUGGUCCAUACACUAAUCACAAAUUACAUUUUAAAUAUUUUUUGUUUUCUUGUUAGGUUUAUCUCUUGCUUUUCUUUUUCUCUUUUCCUUCCUUCAAUUCAAAGGAUUUUUUUCAAAAUAUUUAUAAAUAUAAAAAAAUAGUACUUUUAAUUAGCCAUCGAUGGUGAUAGGCUUAUCUAUGUGACGAUGGACCUAGAUUGCAGUCUAUCUUGAUUUAUUAUUAAUAUAAUUGUGAUAUUUUGAUAUAUUUAGAAAUUUUUUCAUUUAAAAUAUUUUUCUUGUUAUAUUUUGAGUGUGUAUAAAUAGAUUAAAAUUAAAGGGUAAAAAAGGGACAAAAGGACAAAAAGAAGGGUAAAAAAUAAAAAGAAACGUUAGGAAAAAGGGGAAAAGAAAACAUGACUAAAUAAUAAUGAGAAAAAAGAAUGGAAAGAAAAUAAUGCAUUAAAUUAUAAAUUUGGUCGAUGAGCUUUAACAUCCGUGUUUAUCUUGUCCUUAAACUACCAAACUUACAAACUUUAGUUCUCGAUCUUUUAAGUUUUAUCAAAAUUUUCAUAAUCUAUUAAAUAAAAUAAAUUAAGAAUUAAAGUUGGGAUGAAACACAAAAUCAAAAUUCAAAGACCAAAAAUUAAACACAAACCAGCUACGAGUUUAACAACUAGAUUUAUAGGAGAACCAAAACACAUAAAUUAAAAAAUAUGAAUAAUAGAUUCAUAAACUUUCAUCAUAUCCAAAACCCUAAACCUAAAAUGAGGGAACACAAACUAGACAUGACCAAAACUAUUUUUUCAGAAGUACCAAUAAUAGAUUUGAUCACAUGACCAAACUUAGAGCACAUGUUCUUUCUAAAAUAUAUCCAAAGGGUAGCCCUACCUGCGUGAUUUGUUGAAGUAUACUCUCUUGGGGACCUCAAAUAAUUAAAUUACUUUUUCCAUUGUUUUAUCUUUUGUGUGGAUUUUUUUCUAAAAAAAUUUCACGUGAAGAAAGAAGGCCUUAGCUAAGCUCCAAUAAUUCAACUUGACAUUGUACCCUAUGUAGUAAUCCAAGAUUUCAAAUAAAAUGGCACGUGAAAAGUUAGUUUUUUUUUCUUUCCCAACUUGUGAUUAUAUCAUUUUGGAACCUAUCGUUCUUAGCAUUUAGUGCUAGAUGAAGACUCAUUUGCCGUAUAUUUGAAAGGAGAGGUACGUUGACGCUCCUUGUUUCUCUCAUGUUACAAUCCUCUUUUGUUUGAAACCUAUUUUAAUUCAAUCCACAAACACAAUAAUAGAGGAUUGAUAUCAACCUUUCAUUAUGGAAGAUAGAAAUUUUGAAAUGAAUCUAGCAAAAAAACAUAGAAGUCAAGCACGAUGUUGUGGUAGAUAAUGAUAAGCCAAUGAGAGCAUAGAUGGAAAUACACCUAGGAUGGUAACCCAAUUAGUGAGUGUAGUCACCUAUUUCGAAGAUUAGUGUAUUAGAUAAAGAGUCGAGAGAUUAUCAUUUCAAUGGUAAACUCUCUCUUUAAAAACUAUUGUCACACACAAUAUUUUUUUGGUAGCCUUAAAUGAAAUCUCAUCAAUACAUCAACUACUCAUCUUGAGUUUUCACUUUCACCUUUAACUAAUUCGACAGUACAUGAAGCCAAGUAAUAAUACUUGGUCAGAACAAAAACUCAUAAAUUAUAGACGAAAGCAGGCAGGGAAGCAAUUCAAACUUGACUUUAAAGCACAUGUAACCUGUUAUAUGUAAAGUAGUAAUAGCGGCAAAAUUUUAGGGUUUUAGUGUUUUACACAAUAUAGGUUACUCUAAUACCAUGUCAAACAAUGUAAAUUUUCUAUCUUAUUUCACUUAGAAAGAGGGGAUUUCUUAAAUAUGUUUGGAGAAUAUAAUAAAAUAAAUACAAAAAAAUAUUAAAGAAAAAGGAAACAAUCAAUUAAUUCAUGAUUCAUGGUUGUUUCAAGCAUUACACAAUAAACACUUCAAAACACUAAAAUUAUUAGUAAAUACAAAGAGGUUUAUUCGAAACACGUUAAUUAAUUAAUUAACUUGAGAUUAAAAACUAAAUAGUCGACCCACACCUUUCAUGCAAUUGACAAAAAAGAAUAUUCAUCUAAUUUUUUAGUGUCUGAAUUGAUAACUUUUCUUAAAUUGAAGUUUCAUUAACAGAGAGUUCAUUCUUUAUAUAUAAAAACAUACUUAAAAUUGGUUAUAUAAAAUUUUUAUUCAACAUAUAAUAUGUAAGUGAGGAGAUGGAUUGUUUGAAUUCUCUUAUCUAAUUUUAUACUAUUUACUAACAACUAUUAGAAAGUAAAGGAAAUUUAUUUUCAAACCCCACCAUUACCUUUUAUUACCUUAAGAAAGGACAUAAACAUAUAACCCUCAAAAUUAAACCUUUCACAAAUCUUUUCAUCCUGCACACUUCACCAUGGCAAAAAAAAAGAGAAAGAUAUAAGGAAAAACAUAACAAUGAUAAGUUCACACUAACAAAUUAACUCUAAACAACAUUAAUUUUACUUCCCUACACCCUCAACUCUAAACCCUCCAAAACUAUAAUAUUCCCCAAAACACAAUAUGAAUAUAUACCACUUGGCCCAAAACCACCUCCUAGGGUUUUUUAGUGGCUUCUCAUUCUAUGGUGUUUUAGGGGUUACGUACCUUACCUUCCUGAAAUAUUCACGAGGGUUUUUUUUAUUAGGGGUUUCUCUUUCUAGGGUUUUUAGGGUAAUCGGGGAUAGUUCUUAACCAGCGCGGUACUGCCACAAGCCAAAGCCUUCGGCGGAAUCAUUCCCACCAUAUGAACUCCUUCGGCAAACACAACUCCCAUUCCCAUAUGCAAAUGAGGUUCAAUAUGGCAAUGGAACGCCCAAACACCUGGGUUAUCCGCCACAAAUCGAAUCGCCGUCCACCCAUAUGGGAAAAUCACCACUGUGUUCCUCAACGGUGGAUUUUUCAAAUUCAGUUUCUUCUCAUCCUCGGGGGCGUAAAAUUUCCCCUCUCCAUACCCCAAAACCCAAAAAUCAUGGCCAUGCAAAUGCCAAGGGUGAAUCUCACUCAUAUUGGGGUUUAACAUAUUAGCGUUUUGUAGAAUCACAUCUACCGUUUCCCCCAUAUUGAACUUGUAAACGCCGUUGCCCGUUGUCGUUUCAGGGUUCGGCGGUGGGUUGUUGAUGUCGUAGUUCAAUGGGAAUGUUUCUGGUGGUGGAUUUUGGUUGAAGGCAGUGUUUAGCCUCAUUUUCAUGGCGGCGAGGUACGGCGUUGGAGGGAGAGCUAAAGAGACAUUGUUGAUGGCCCAUUUCAUGAACCCGUUUAUUCGAUUUUGGGUGUUGAGGAGGAAGAGUCGGCGGUUGUAUCUCACCGGUGGCUUUGGACUGCCCAUGGCAGCGAAGAUUCUGAAUGUGAAGUUUUUGCUCCGAUCAAAAUCCUCCCAGUGGGGGGUUUCCGGAGGUGGAGAAAUGGGUAAUUUGGAGGCGGAGUUGGGGAGGUAAUUGAGGAGGGUUAGUCCUGGAGGGGUUUUGGGUAGCCGUGCGCGGACGCCGAUGGAUACCCAGUAAUUUUCCAAUGGGUUUUGGUCGGUGGUAAUGAGGACGGAGUAUGACUCGCCGGAAUAAAUGUCGAUGUCGGAAGUGACAAAUGGUUGAACGUAGUUGCCGUCGGCUUCUACCACUAACAGUUCGUGAUUCUGCAGAAGAAGAGGAGAAAAUAAUUAUUAAAAUUAGUUUUAAAUUCAUGGAUAAACAUUAAUGUUGAAAGUUGAAGAUAUUAUUUAGUGAAAAAUUAAAGUUUAAAAAUCUAAAAUUAAAUGGAAAUGAACAAUUUGAAACUUAUAAACUAAAAAGGAGAUUAGAAUUUUUUGUUCAUAAUUAUUCAAGUUUACUUUUGAUUAUUUUUAUUUUGAUUUUCAAUUACUAGUUUGAAGCAUGAAUAUGAAUUAUUAACAUUCUAACAUGCAAUUAUUCUAAAAAGGACAAAACAAAAAUGAAAUUUUGAUCCAUUUCUUUCACCACUGAAAAAGGCUAAGAUUUUGUUUUGUGUAAUUAUUAUGUGCAUAAUUAGAGAGAGAUGGACCUCAUUUUGUUAUACCUUUGACAAGGAAUUAAAUAAAUCUUCAUACUUAACAUACUAUAGAUUUCAUUUAAGUGUAGAAAGAUUUGUAUUUAGUACUCUACUUUUUUAUUAUUUUUCUCCCUUUCCUUUUUUGUUUAUUAUUAUUAUUAUUAUUACUUUCUUUAUAAUUUUCUUUUAAAAAACUAUUCUAUAUCACCCAACUUUUAUAAAUAUUUACUAAUAUAACAAAUUGAUAUCGAUCUAUCAUCUAACUUAGUCUAUCAUAGUCCAUUUUCCAUAAUAGAUAAAAUAUGAAUUUUGCUAUAUUUUGUAAAUAUUUUGAUUUAUUUUAUUAUCAUCUAAAUUGAAUUUUAAAAUAAUAUUUUAUUAUUUUUUUAAUAGUUUUUGUACCCUAAAUUUAAUAAUAUAUUAUAAAAUCUUGUUUAGAAUUUUGUUUCCUAAAGUAUAAAUGUAGAUCCCCACCACAGUACAUCUAGAUCUCAAACAUUUAUGUGGUAACCUUCAACUUUAACAAUUAUUCCAUAAAACAUCUUCCCCAUUAUUAAAAUAAAUGAUAAAAAAAAUGAGGCAAUAGUUUAGAUAUAAAAUCAAAAGAUGGGAUAAGAUCACAUAUUAUUUUAAUCAAAUUAUACAAAUUUAAUCAUAGUAGUUGGGAUAAUUUUAGGAGUUAGUUCCAUAGUUUAUAAAUUACAUAUAUUAUUCACAACUAUUAGCAUUUAUUUCAUCUAGAAAGAAGCAUUAAAACUAUUUAUAAUGUAAAAUCACCUUGGUACCUCAAGGGUCACAUCAAUAAAUAAGAAUAAGAUAUAGUAAAUAAUAUCACUUAUGCUUUACAAUUUCUUACAUAUUUGUUACUUCUCAAGUGGGUUUAUAUAUGUGUGUGUAUAUAUAUAUAUAACUAAAUAAAAGUAUGAUUAAAAUUCUAUAUUAAUAAAAGUACAUAUAUAGAUAUUUUAAGUUUAAGAGUAACAAUCAACUCUCAAGUAAUAUUUUUAAAACAAAGUGAAGCAUUUAAGUGUUAUAUAUAUAAUUGGAUUAGAAAAAGAAAAGAUAAAAAGUAAUAUGAAUAGGACAAGAAAGAUGGGAGCAAAACAUGUGGGAUACCUAAGAGAAGAGUUGGUCAAUGGGAAUCACAUCAUAUUAUCAAUACCAAUAUGUCCAAAAUGUCAGAAAUGUUAGAUUAGGUUAUCUAUUGUUUGUACUCUCCCAAACACUGCUACAUGUGUUUAAAAGUAAAUUUAAAUAUUAUCUCUUAAAUUGCUAUUUUUAAAUACAAUGAAAUAUUAUUAUAUUAUAAAAUUUUGUUAUAUUUAUAAAUAUUUAUGUAAAAAUUUAUAUAUUAAAGGUGGACGUGGAUUAAAAUAGAAGAGAUUUAAUGUAAAGUUUAAAUAUCAAAACGAAUAUUUUAAAGUAUAAUGUGAUAUAUUAUACUCCAGAAUUCAAACCCUAAUAUUCUUAUAGUCAAUUUUGAAAGGAGGGUAAAGUUGAUAAAAUGGCUUUUGAUUGUUUGGUAGCUAUUAUUCUCACUAGUGAAAGAGAAGUUUGUGUGUUUUGGUUAGUUUCCUCUCUCUCUCACACACACACAUAUAAUAUAUAUUUGCUUUCACUAACUACUCCCACUUUUAGGACUUUAUGAGUCAAAACCUUUGAAAUUAUUGGAAGUAAUUUUCAAACAAAAAGCAACUUUCAUACUUCUAACACCUUUUUAACAUAUGGUUUGAUAAAGCUUAAUUAUUUCUUUUGUACAAUUUGUCAUUGGAUGGAGUUACUUUAUCAUGUUUCUUUUAGAUUCAUUCGUCGUGAUUGAAAUUGAACUACUUAUUAAUUUACUCGUUGAGGCUAUUUGAGUGAUUUUUGGAUGUUUAAUUGUUUAAAUUUGAUGAUUUUCGACUGUAAUAUCGAUUUAGAAAGUUUAUUUGGUCAUUACUAAAGGUUAAAUAUCUUUGAAAACUGCUACAAUUAUUUAAAAUUGAAAGAUUAAAUCAUAGAAAAUACCUCAAAAUUGUCAUUUGUUUAAAAAAAAUUAUACCUUCAAAAGUUUAAUACAUACUAAACGUGGAUGGAAUGAAGGUGCAUCGAACUAUACACCAAAACACACAUCCAAUGCCAAAAGUGAAAAUAUUUCAAAAUUACUACGAAAUAUUUACGAAGGGUUAGAGGUAACACUUGAAGGUUUCAAUAUUACUUCUAACUUUCAUAAAUAUUUUAAAAUUUCCUUCGUGACAUGUUAAUGAUGUGACAGUGACCCGUUUUAUUACAUGAUUUCAAGUUUAAUUUUAUGUAUAAGUUAAUACAAUCACAAUAGUUUUGAAAAGACUAGAUACCUAACUUCAAUAUAAGAUAAUUUUGAGACAUUCAUGCUAACAAUUUUGUUACUAAUUUUUUAAUGUAUUUAGUCUUUAUGUUUUAAUCCUUUACCGUUCGAUAAAAAUUUCAUUAAAUAUAUUCAAUCUAAUUUAAAGAUUUUAUCGAAUCAUAAAAACUAAAUUCUACUUUUUUUACGUGAUACGACUAAAUUUGUGACUUAAACCAAAAUGAAAGAUAAAAAGAAGCAAGACUUACUCCAAUGGCAAAGUUGAGGGAAGCCAAGGCAGUGGUACUAGCAAUUCUUAUCCGAUAAGUUUUCUUGGGUUGAACAUGUAGGAUAAAUGGUGCACAUUUUUCUUUUCCACUCAACUCACAUUGCUUCAAACCUUGGUUGUAUUUGGCUGCUAUUGAACAGUCAAAUUGCCCUUUCCCAUUUAUCAAUAUGCUCUGAAAAAUAGUAAAAACACACAAAUAUACGAAGUUACAAUAUUAUUCUUGAACAAAUGUGAAGUAUAUAUAUAUAUAUGCAGAAUUUUAGAUGGAAAUUAAGACUGGAGAUGAAAUGUAUGGUGUUGGCAUGACAAAAUUUUACUUUAUCUUAUAUUCUCCCUAAAUGAAUUUUCAAAAUUUCGUAUUUUGUUUGUGUUAUAUAAAUUGAAUAUAUUUCAAACAAGGGAGGAUUGAUUUUGAAAGUGGGAGAAUAUAUAUAUUUUCUCCAAAUAUUUUUUUCUUUUGUUAGGAGCUAUGGCUUAACUUAGUACAUGUAUAUAUAUAUGUGUGUGAGAAAAGAUAUACAUGUGUUGUUUUAUCCUUGUAGUUUGAACAUGGUGUUCUUUUAAUUAGAUUAUACAUUAGAAAAUUAUUGAAAAAAUAUUACAUUAUAUUGAUAGAUGUUGAUAAAAUUCUAUCAAAUUCUAUUUGUGCAUUGAAAUUGUGAUCAAAUUUAAAAAAAUUUAUUUUUAUAAUGUAUUGGUUAAUUUUGUUUUUUAAAAAUGUUCGAUAUAUAUACUUAUCUUUUAUACCUAAACAAAGAAUAUUUUAAUUUAUUAAGCUUUCUUUUUAAACAGUGGAUUAUUAUAAGAAAAAGAAAGAAAAGAAAAGAAAUGGUCAUUGAAUUAGUUAAUAAUUUAAAUUAAGGAAAUUGAUUUAAGGGUAAGAAGGACAAAUUAUAUACCCACCAACCUCUCAAGUCUAUUCAAUCUACUAACUUUUCUUUUUCAAUUUUCAAAAUGCUUUAUUUAACAAAAAUAUAUUUUUUUUAACAAAUGAAAGCAGAUUCUUGAAAAAAAAAAUAGAAUGAAACUACUUACGAAAUAUAAAUAAUUUCGUCACCUAUUCAACGUUAUUCACAAGUUUGUAUGCAAAAAUAUAAAAUAAACAAAAUUCAGAAUAUGUACUUACUUACAAGUUUAAAUAAUCACUGACAUACAAAACCUAAAAAGUUAUGAACACUUAUUUUAUAUUUAUAACAAUUGAAGUCAAUUAUUUAUCUUGUUAUCAAACAAAUAUAAACCAAUCAUACAUUGAAAUUUUCAAGUCAAACAGUACAAGAGAUGAAGAAAAAAAUGAUCACACACACACACACUUCAAGAAGAGGAAUGGAAAAGGACAGAGGAAAAAGAAUAAUUGGUGGAAUAGUGGUUUUGGUUGUGUAAAGCAAAUUUCAGCGAUGCAUUUUUUCUCAACUUUUUCUCAUGUGUAAUAAAAUAGGAAAGAAAACAAUUAACUUUAAAAGUGGUUUGUUGAUCAUCGUCAUUUAAACAAUAAUAUCCAAAUCUCAACUUUACAUAAUGAAUAACACUUCUUGAUUUUGAAAAAAAAAAAACAAUUAAUUUUUACGCUUAAUUAUGUUAAAAACUUUGUGUUGAAAAUGUGUUUUAAAGUUAUAAAUAUGUUUAAUUAUGUGUUAAAAGUACAUCUUUAAUUUAAAGUUCUACUCGUUACAUCAAUCUCCAUCUUUUUUAAAUUAGUAAGUAGGGAUCUUUUUGAAAUACAAAAGAACAAAAAUUAAACUUUUCUAACCAGUUAGUGAAAAGAAAUUAAACUUUUCAAAAUUAGAGGCAUGUUUCAAAAGCUAAUGAGUCUUCUUUUUUUUUCCUAAUUUAACUAAAUACUAAUAAAUGAUUGUCAAUUCAUAGUUGAUAAAGUAGAGAUGGACCAAUUGACACUACUUUAUUCAUACAUAUUGUCAAAAAGAACUAAAAAAAGAAUACUUAGUUGGUAAAGCACUAAUUACCUGAGGCUCACCAAUCCAACGCAUUGGUUUGGAGCUGAGACCAACUUCUUGCUUGUGAACACUCUGAUGCCACCAAUCACUAAGCAAUAAGUUGAUCUCUUCGUCAUAAUGGAAUGGCUCAGAUCUUCCUUCUGGUGGAUCCACUAUCAAAGAUCCAUACAACCCAGCCGAUCUUUGCAUCCCUAAAUGGCCAUGAUAGAAAUAUGUCCCAGCCUACAGUAAAAUAUGAAUAAAUAUUAUAAAACAACUUGCAAUAUUUCCUAUGGACUCAAUACGUUUUAAACCCUUCUUACCUUAUCUACCACAAACCGGUAAGUGAAGGUCUCACCCGGGUUAAUGGCACACUGCGAGAUGGAAGCAGUGCCAUCAGCCCAAGGAGUACCUCGUUGUAGGAUUCCAUGCCAAUGAAUAACAACACCUUCAGUGUGGAGCUUGUUAGUUAGCUCCACAACGACGAUGUCGCCAGCGUUGGCUCUAAUCGUCGGUCCAGGGAACUCGCCGUUGAUUCCCAUAACAAUGUUUUCAACACAAUCUGGCGACCAAAACAUGUACUCAACAUCCCAUUUGUAGUGUUUUAUUUUGGGAAAACCUGCCUCAGAGAGAGUUAUUCCAAAUCCAAAAAUGAUUGACAAAACAAGGAAGGAUAGAAAAGGCUUGGGGAAGAAAGGCUUAUCUGCAACUUUUGCCAUUUCGAAGGGUUGAGGAGAUGAAAGGGAAGAAUAAUGAUGCAAUGAGGAAAAAGGAAGAAAGGAAAAAAGUGGGAAGUUUGUGUGUAAGAUGCCACUAGAGUUUGCAAUUUGCCUCCUUUUUAUAAUGAAAUUUUGAGAUAUUUUGUUUACCCACUCCCUCUCUUUCGUUAAGUCAAGUGGUUGAUUUUAAUUCUAAUUUUCAUUUUUAUUUUCAUUUGUUGUGUGUGUGUAUAAUAUAUAUAUAUAUAAAUAUAUAUAAUUAAUUUGUGUGUUUAUACUUUUUUCUUUAAAAAAUUACUACAAAAGAAAUGGAAACUGUCUCUCAAUCAAUCUCAGACCUAUAUGAAAUGAGAGACAUCUAUGGAAAGAGAUUAAAUUCAAAUGUAGGACCCUAUAAAUGUUGAUCUAUAAUAAUUAAAUUAUAUAUAUAUAUAUAUUAGGUUUGCUAUAUAUAUACACACACUAUGAAAGAUUCCAUUUAUCUUUUAGGUUGUUUGUUUUUUGGAUCUAGAUAAUAAUCAAAGAGCUAGUUGUUUCAAUGUUUGGAUGUAUUUAUUUGACUAAGUUAUAAAGUAAUGCUUGAAAAUAUCAAUAUUAUUAGUUAUGUUUGCUUUGUAAAAUUUGUGUGCAAGAAAUAUGUGUGUUGAGAAUUAUGUUAUAUACCAAGAUUGUUCAAACAAAUUUUAGGCAACUUAAAUUAACAAUAGUUCGAUACAUUGUUAUGGAUACUUUUUGGGUUAAAGUAUAAAAUCGAUAUGAUGAUAAAUAAGAGAAAGUCAUCGGGUGAUCAAGAAAGCAACAAUAAAUAGGGGCUCGCUAUCCGGCCAAGAUAAUAAAAUUGGCUUAAAGAAAAGAACUAAUUUGUCCCGAUUGGUUUGCUUCGACCAAGGCUGAACCUACACAAAACAUAUAUCGUUACAUCCCAUGCAUGAUGUGAGCUCACACACGAGCCUUAAGAAGAGGAUUGACUUGACCUAAAACCACUUCGAUCGACUCUACUUUGUCCUUUGUGAAGGCUUAACUCACUAAGUCAAACCUAUUUUAAUGUUCUAGAACAAAUUAAAAGAGAAUAUUUAGAAGCUUAGGAAAACACUCUUCCUAAUUAAGGAGAGGAGAAUCCAAUCACCCGCUUUAUAAAUAAGAUGGUAAAAAGACAUAAAAUGUUAGUCGUUCUCUCUCCAGUAACAUCAUACUAUAAUAAAAUCUUUAGAUCAUUUUCCUUGUUUUAAGUAACAAAGUGUGUGACGCCCUAUAUCAUACCAGUGUGUCGUUCUUGCUAAUUAACUCGUAGUUGAUCUUCUUCACCAAAAUAUAUAUUUAUCAUAGUUAUCGCUUUGAGGUCAGAUCAUUUUACCUGCUCAAAUUUUAGAAAAUUAUUUAAAUUCAUUUAACAUGUUUUCUUCGUGGUAAAUUUAUUUAUUCAAUAUUUUAAUAUUUUAAUUUUAUAUCAAUUAGGUAUACACUAACUUUAUUGGUUGUUAAAUUUUAUUUAUUCAACUUUACUUGAUGGUGAUGGUUUUGUAGGCCUUCGGGCAUUUUGGUUCUUUAAUCAAUGAAGUUCUUUUGAAUAUACAAUAUAUGUAUGUUGUAUAUAUAUGAUUUAUUAAAUUGUAAUCAUUUUCAAGAAAAGACAAUUAAUAUUUAAUUAUGAUAGUUUUAAUAGAUCACGUUUAUUUGAUUGCAAGAUUAUAAUUUUUUGUGUGAUUUUUUAGUACAAAACAUUGACUUACUCAAUUAUCCAUCUCUGAGUCGGUAACUAAUCUAUUUUUAUCUCAAUUGAACUAUAUUGAGUUGAAUAUAUAUAUUUAAUAAUUUAAAUUUUAAAAGUAAAAGUGGAUAAUUAUAUCAAAUAAGAAUAUGAACAGUUGGACACUUAUGAAAUCUAGUACGUUCAUGUUUACAAACUCACUUCAAUUCUUUGAAGAAAAAAAACAAAAUACAUGUUUAAUAUGUUAAGGCUAAACUAUGAGUUUUGAUCCCUAUAAUUUGAAUAAUAAGGUUAAAGUUUUAGUUCAUAAAAUCAAGAGUAAUUUAUUAUCAUCUAACAUAUUGAGGGGAUAACCACGACUACUUUACUAUGUUGAAAUUAUUAAAAUGUUCCCAAUUUCUAAAUUAUGUUAUUAAAUACACAUUGGAAACAUUUCAUUCAAAUUUUUUUAUUUAAAUUUUGUGUUUUCAAAUUUCUAUUUUCAAACUGUCUUUAACCUACAUAUUCAUUUAAUAGAUAUUUUAGAUUUUUUCCAAACAAACAACUUCUUUAUUUAUAUGCUUUGUUCUGUGUUUGUGUUUGCAAGUUAAGUUAACGAUUUGUUGUAUUUAACAACAUUCAAUGAGUCAAAAACUAUAUCUAACUUAAUUAACGAAAAGUAUAUAUCACUUCGAUAAAAAAGUGAAAUUUCAUAUCCUUUUCUUUUCAAAAAUCAAGCAGGGUAGGUCAUAUCAACACGCAUUUUUUUAAAAUAUUGUUGUUUCAAAAAGAAAAUAGUAAAAUAUGGUUGUUGGUAAGAUAUACUUUAUAAAAGGAAUAAAAUAACUGAAAUUAUGAACUAAAACAAAUGUAAGGAUUGGAGUGGGGAAAUGGUGAUGUUAUAUAAAAUAUAGACAAGUUGAGACAAAAGUAAGGAUAAGAAAAAGUGCAUCAAACUUUUUAAUUUUCAAAAAUCAUUCUAUUUUUCUUUUUAUAAUAUAUAUAUAUAUUAUAAAGUUCUAAUAUUUAAUAAGGUAAAUCCAUGUAUAUAAUCUUGCUAUUUAUUUUUAAACUCUCUAACCACCCAUUAUCGAUUGAUGGAUAUAAAAUUUUGAAUAUACAAGAAUUGAAAUAUUUAAAAUCCUAAAAAUGUUCAUUUUUGAAAAUUGGUGAAAUAUAAAAAGUAAAUGUUUGUGUUUAUUUUAUUAGUUUUUGUUUACAAUAAUUCUUCUAAAUUAAAGGUAAUUGUUUUUAUUAUAAGAUUGAUCAAAGUUAUGUUUAUAAAUAUAGGAAUAUUUUCAUUAGCUCUCUUAUCAAUAAUAAAUAUUUUAUUAUUUAGUUUAUAUUUAAUUAAUUAAUAAGGAAUAUUCUCCCUAAAAUUAGUUUACAAAUUAACUAAAAAGUAAUCAAUGAUUAACUUUCUCUCUCCUCUAUUGUUCAUUUUUCAAAGAAAAAUAGGUCUAAUCUCCAAUAAGAACAAUAAUACAAAUUAAUUCAAAGUUUAUACUCCAUUAUGAUACUUUUAUAUUUGGAUAAUAAUUAUCUAUUUAUUAAAAUAAAUAUCCACCGAACAAACGUUAGUUGAUGAGAGAAUACAUUUUCUUUUAAACAUUUUCUUGAAAAUGAGUUUAAAUUUAAACAUUUACAUGUUUGAUUAGAUUUUUUUAUGAGUGUUUAUAUAUGAAUUUUGUUUAAUUUAUCUUAAACCAAAAAUGUUUAUACUUAACUCAAAUUAUACCAUAAAUGACUACUAAACAGUAUGACCUAAUUUCAUAAAAAAUACAUAUAUUUUAAAUUUAAAAAAAUAUAUAUACUUUGAAAUUAAUGGCACAAUCUUUUGGAACUAAUUGUUUUAAAAUUUUGAAAUUAGUAAAGUUAGAACCAAAAACAUUAUUUUUUUAUUACUUUUUUUAGAUAGUUUUAUUUUAGAAGUAGAGGUAUACUGAUAUCUAAAUUCAUAAUCAAGAUAAAAAAUAAAAAUAAAUAAGAGAAAAGAAAAUUAAUAAUAACACCAGAAAUAAAGGGAGCUUGAUUUAUUAUAUUGUUUUAGUAAUUAUUCAAAAUAAAAGAAAGAAAAACGUGAGAUAAAAAUUGCCAAUUUUUCAACUUUAAUUUAUAAAAGUUUGGUUUUUAAUGAUUUCUUUAAAAUGAAUUAUUUUAUAAACGAUUUUUUUAAAAAAAUGCAUUAUUCUAAUUUUUCAUAUACGAAAUUUUUUUUUUACAAAAUUAAACACUUCAAAAUCUCAAUCAAACACAUCAUAAUUCUUAUUAAUUUUUAAUAAACUUUUUGUCGUUUGUAAUUAAGUGUGUUUAUUUAUUUUAUUAGUAGUCUUCAUCUUUUUCUAAUUAAACAAUUUUAGUUCAAUUUUAACACGAAAAUAAGUUUUAAAAUGAUAUAUUAUCAUACCAUGAUUUUGUUUGUGACUUUUUAUAAAAUUAAAUAAACCAAGUGAAGAAAUCAAUAUUAAUUUUCUAACCAUAUUUUUAAAACAAUAAAGACCCAAAAACAAGUUUAAUUACUCUUUUAUAACUAGCAAUAAACUUUUUCUUUAGUACUAAUUAGCAAUAAAUUAUUGAGUACUGUGUUUACAUUAUUCGAACUUAAAUUGUGGUAACAUUGGGUCCCAUUUCUACUUCUAGGGCUUAUUUGGGUUUUCAUUACAAAUCACAAUUUACACUUUUGUUAACCUAAUUUUUUUCUACUCUUCUUUCUUAAGGUCAAUUUUCAAUUAGAAAGUUUCAUAAUAUAUAUAUACACACACUUCGUUUUUCCAACUUUUUCACAUUUUGGUACUUUAGAAAAUAAUAAUAAAUAAUAACUAUGUAAUUUAAAAUUUUCUAUUUGUCCACCCUCGUAUUUUCGUAGUUGUCGAUCAUGACUGAGUAUUUAGCUAUAAAAAGGAUUAUCCAAUAAAUCAUCCAAAAGAGAGUGAUUUUAUUUAACAAAGUAUGGUGGCCGACUCAUCGAUUCAACAAUUAGAAUGACUAAAUAGAUAAUUAAUUUGAACUGAUUAGAAACAUAAAGGUCAACUCUGAGACAAUCAACCAUCAAAGUUAAGAAAAUCAAUUAUGUGGAUUUCAUGAAGGUCGACUCAUAGGGUUAGUUAUGGUAGACAAAUAUAAGGCCUAAGCAUGUAGAUAAACCCAUAGAAAUCAGAGUGGCUAUAUAACGUAAGAUCAAGAUCAACAUUACGAAGGCAAAGAUUAUUAUGCCUAAAUAAGUGUUUUACUUUUACAUAUGUUUGGGUCAUUAGUAAAGUAAAUCCACCACUUCAUAGCGGCUAAGUAACGAUUUGAUUAAUGAAUCAAGAAGUUAAUUAGCAAAUGGUCAUUACAAAUACGUUGUUUUUUUAUAAACAACAGGGUGCAUGAUGCUUGUUCGCUUCCUCUGAACAAGCUUUGAAAAUUCAUGGUUGGUACCGAAGUUUGGUAUUGAAAAAGUAUAAAUAAUUGUUCAUAUUACUUUUGUUCAUAUAAUGUCAUAAAAGGAAUAUUUAAAUGCGUGACAUAAAAGACAAUAACAUAUCAUCAAUUGAGGAGUCAAAUCACCCAUGGAAGAAGUAUUUAUGACAGUGGUACCACAAAUUUCAUACACCCGAUGUUAGCAAGUUCCAAGAUAUGUUAGUAACUCGUUGAAACAAGAUGCUUUUUACAAGAAGCUUUUAGUUCUAAAAUGGAAUAACAAUUUAUUAUUUAUUUGCUUUUAUUUUAAAAUGAAAGUAACAUAUCUUAUUUAGGAAAAUUAAUUUUGAUAUGAAUUUAUAAAUUUUCAAGUCAUUGAAAAAAUACUUUUUUCUAAAUUUAAUUAGGGUUUUAAUCCAAUUUAUUUUGUAUCUAGAAGUUACAAAAGGUUACAUUCUACGUUGAUGGAGUAAAAAUUUCAAAUUGGUUUGAAAAAAAUAUGGUAAGAAAACUAAUUAAUAAUUAUAAUUCUUCAAAAUUAAUUAACAUUAACAAUAAGUACCAAAGGGGUUAUUUAGUGAAAUUAAAUUUAAUUUAAAAGUUAGCCGCAAAAUGAAAAUAAAAACUUAAAACUUGGGUAGAUAUAUAAUAUUUUGAAACUUAUAGAAAAUGAAUCUUAAACUUAAAACUAAUGAUAAAUAUUAUAGUAGUUCAAAAUGUAUAAACUAACAUCAUGUUUACCGAACUAUAAAAAAAAUUGAUGUGAUUAUGAAAAAAAAUUUAUUGAUGGAUCAAUUGUAAUGAACUUGAAUCGUAAAUAUAACUAUAUUGUUUUUUUACGGCGUUUACUUACAAUCAAGAACUUUGUCAUAUUUAUUUUUACUUUUACCUCUAUCUCUUAAGGUCAAACAGUAACGUCGAUAAUAGUAAAAGAUGUCAAAAUUGAUAAUUUUUCAGUUGUAACAAUAAAAAUAACAGUAGAGAUAAUUAUAAUAAUAAAGUUAGCAAUACAAUGUAAUUUUCAAAGGAACGGUUGCAAAAAUAACCAAAAAUGUUAUGAUAAUAGGUUCUAUAUUAUUAUAUUUUAUAAAUUGCAAAAAUAACAAAUUUAAAAAUCGACAACCUUUUAAUAACCCUAUGAUAUAAUUAAUUUUGUCAUAUUAGCAAUAUAUAUAGAAAAAUAAGUGUUGUUGAAUAUUUUUUUCUAAAUGUUUUUAUCAUAUCAUACAAUUUUUUAUUUUGAAACGUAAUGAAAUUAUGAAAAGAAGUUUUUUGGAAAAAUAUAAAAAUUUGAAAAUUUUGAAAUAAUUGAAAAGAAAAGGGAAAACGCGUUAUGUGAUUUGAUUGAAUUGCAAAAGGGCAGGCCGAGGCUGCUCCCUUUAUUGUUUUUGUAUUAUCACAUAUCUAUAUUCAUUUCUCACGUGGGAAAAUGAAAAUAAUAUCUCUUCUUGCUCCCUACCCUUAUUAUCUACUCCUUCCCUUACAUUCCUUUUCUUCCACUUUUCUUUUAAUUUAAGAAUUUUUAGCCUUAAAGCCAAGUGAUAAUUGACAUCUCAUUUUCGAUCUGGCCUACAUGUGUGAGAUUUUGUCUUGGUAAGUUUACCAUAAUAGGAUGGUAACAAAUAAUUAAGGAAACUUUAAUUUUAUAGAGUAGGUCUACAAAAUAAUAAUGAUGAGUAUUUUUAAUAUAGUAAAAUAAAUUGAAAUAUUUACGAAAACAUACCAACAUUUCAUAUUUUAUAUGCUCAAUUUAUAUAUAAAACAUUGUAUAAUUGAAGGUUCAGUCCAAUAAUUGUAAUAUUCAAUGCUUCACUUUACUUCACUAUAAAUAUACUAUAAAUAUUCAAUAGAGUUGUCCAUUAUUUCAAAAGCAAAUGCCUUUACAAUGAGGAUACUGAGAUUUCCAUUCUUUUUUACUUGCAUAUGCAAAACUUUGACUAACAUAAAACGUAUUAAAUUCAACACCAAACAAAUUAAAAUAAUAUACAUGUUUUUUUUCACCCGUUUUAUUUUAGUACAAUAACUAUGAGAGAGAUGAUUGAGUAGACUUUUAAAGAUAAAAUUGAUGUCAAUCAUAUUAACCUAAUUAAGCUCGUUUUGAUAGUAUAACUUUGUCGAUGAUACGUUAGAUUUUCGUAAAGUUAAAAGAUUCAAAAUUGAUAAAAAAAUAAUUUAAAAAAGAAAAGAAAAAUGACAAAAUGGUGAUGUAGGAUUUUUUUUUUCUAUAUUCGUAAAUACAUUGAUAUUUUUUGAAAUACCCCAUUCAAAAUUCUUCUUCAAAUUUAUGAAAUUAGAAAAAUUAAAUAAGUUACAAUUGUUUAAUUACUACAAUUCAACCCAAUAUUAACCAUAUAUAAAUUAAUUAAUGAUUCUUCUCAAAGAAAAAUGUGUAUAUAAAUUAUCACCCCAAUUUUGUGGCACUAAAUGACCCAUUUUGUGCACUAAACAACAACAUUGAUAAUUACUAAUUAAUAUUAAUUAGUUAAAUUUUGAUUGACGGAUGACUUUAAUUAUUUAGUACUCUUAUUGAUGAUCAUCAUCAACUUGGCUUGAUACUGAUAUGUUUAGAAUAAAUGAUUGAUUUACAUUAAUUAUGCAAAUAAUUGUUUAAACAAUUUGAGAUGGAAUAUAAUUAUAAAAAAUGUAUAUGGAGAAAUUUUGAUGCGUAUAAAAAUGUCAAACUAUUUACCGAUAAUAGUAAGAUCGAAAAACACUUAUAGACAUUCAUAAACUUUAUCAAUGAUAUUCGUAUAUCGAUUUUCAUUACUGAUAGACAUCAAUAAAAUUUAUGAUAUAGACUUUUAUAAGUUUCUAUCUGCAUCUAUUAGUGAUAAGAUUAUGAAUUAUUAUCCAAAUAUAAACUAAAUCAAACCACACGAUCGUUAAGUUUGAGAGUGUAACGGUAGCUGCUUGUGUACCACAAAAAUAGUUUUUGAGAUUUAUCGGAUAAAAUAAUAACGUGAGCACAUGGCAAAAUGAAGUACGUUAAAAUAAAGAAAAAGGCAGUCUACCCCACACCAUAAACAUAGCCUUUUGGAGUGGGGAUUGAGACAACUCACUGUCCAUCUUCAAUAACUCAACUUUGUGUGUAACCAUUGCUUCAAUUCAUUAUUGGAUAGGACGUAGAUCUUUUAAGUUCUCUACUUCUACUUCAAACCACAAACAUUUAAAACCAAGUUAUUAUGAUUAUUAUUAUUUACUAUGUUUUUAUAAAUAGAGAUGCGAAUAGCACAGUUGGGAUUGAUUCAGUUAUUUAUUCAUUUCUUUAUGUUGAUCAUAAGCUAAAGAAUAAGAAUAUUGUAAACCAAAAUUGUUUGAUCGAAAAUAAUUUACAAAAUUUUAGAGAUUUGAUUAUCUAUUCCAAAACGGUUUGAUGUGUCCUUAAUAUAACUUUUGAAAUUAAAGGGAUUCAAUAUGGGUUAUCCUUAUACUCAAGUUCAAAAGUUAUUUGACAAUGGAAUAGGUACAUUCCAACUAAUAGGGAUUAAGUUGCUAAAGUGAAGAAUAAAUAAUACACUAAUUUUAAAAAAAUAAUAAAUAUAAGAAAACUCGAGGGAAAAAUCAACUUUUUCUUAACUUGGUAACGUAAAUGAAAAUGAUCGAAACUAAAAAAAAAUAAGGGGUCUUUUUAAAAAUAUAACAUAGCCACAAAAUAUUUACACGAUAUAUAACAAUUUCAAAAAUGGAAAAAAGCCCACACAGAUCCACCGUGAGAAAUACCAAAAAUAUCACGUGAUUAAUUGACAUCUAGUGCGCAUAAUUUUCUAUACCAUCGUUUAGAUUUGGAGUCAAGUCUAAAUGAUUUUUUUUCAAUAUUUUUUGGUACACGAUAGUUUAUAUUUGAAACACAAUCGUUUAUGUUUGAAAAACAAUCAUUUAGAUUUGACCUUUUAAAUUUGGCUACCCAGAUCUAAAGAAUUUUUCUUUUAAAAUUCUUUGUACAUAAUCGAUUUUUUAAAGAUUUUUUGUACACGAUCGUUUAGAUUUGACUAUCUAAUAUCCUAACGAUUUUUUUUUUUUAACAAUCUUUUAUUUUUGGAACAACGAUCUUGAACCAAAUAACAAUUUGAAAAGAAAAAAAAACUGCAGAAGAAAAAGACAACGAAAAUAAGAGUAGAAAUACGAUGAAAACGAAUGACAGACUUGAAAUAUUUUUAAAAAAUAGCAAGUUUGAUGGACUUUUUUAUUUUGUUACAUGGACCGUAAAUGUUUCACUGGACUGUUAUAUUUGUGAAAAUUAACGAAAAAGAAUAAGAGGAUUAUGAUUUUGAAGAUUGAAGAGAGUUGUAGGAGCAUGUGGUAUGAAGUUUGAUGAAUGAUUGUGAUAUGAUUUUAUAUGUUGUGAGAUCCUUUUAUUGCAUGUUGCAUGCCAAAUGAGUUAAGUGGUAAUUAUAUACUCUCUUAAUAGCAACUAUUCACACACUAGUCUUUGUCCCUUCGGGUACACCAAUUACUUUGAAUAUGUCUCACCUAUAAUACUAUAUAUUUAGUUAUUAUUCACUUAAAUGUUUCUUCAUAUAAAAUAUUUUUGUGUAGCUUCACCUCUAUAGUGUACGUAUUUUAAAUAUUCAUCCUUUCAUGAAACGUGUUAUUUUAAUCAACAUUUUAAGGGAUUCCAAAACCUAAGUUUGUUUUGAAAUUCCUACAAAAUUAUUUUACUCAUGUUUUAUUUAAUCAUCUAAUAAAGAUGUUUAUUUUAAGUAAGGAGGCCCCCUACUAUAAUUAUCUAAAGGAUCAUUUGAUUCAAUGUUUAUCUUGACGGUCAUGUACGUCAAGAAAAGCCUUCUUGUUUUGUUGAAGGAAAUAUGACAAAAUGUAAAAAAGAAAAUGUGGAUUCUUAAUUUUCUUGAUGGACAAAGUAAAGUUUUCUUAGUUUUAUUGAUGAUUCACAAACGUCAAGAAAACUAUUUCUUGAUGGACAAUACACAUCCAGGAUAAUAUAUUAGUUGGACUGACAAUAUUAGGUUUUUUUAUGAACGAUACCCAUCAAGAGAUGAAUUUUUGUGAUUCGCAAUAGCCAUCAUUGAAAAAAAUUAAUAUAUUUCUUUUGAAUUUCUUGAUGGGUCUAGGGUUUCUUGAUAGACAAAGACAAAAAAAAAAAAAAAUUAUGGGCAAUAUCCAUCCAGAAAAAUGGUAUGCUCGUCAAGAAAUUUUUUUAUAAUUUUGGGUUUAGGAUAAAAUCAUUUGUAUGACCCAUUAAGAAAAAUGAUAUGUCCAUCAAAGAAAAAAAUUAUUUUUCACAAAACACGAAAUUUAGACCCUUGUUAACCGACUCAGUGAGCACCAUAUUCAUCAAUAAAUGCCUUAAACAUUUACUAUUUUUUUUUCAAUUAUUACUUUCUAUUCAUCAAUAAUACAAUAUUAUUUUUCUAAAAGUUAAUUGUAUUAUUACUUUUCUAAAAGUUAAUUGUUUUAAUUAUAACUAGAUUGAAAUAAAUGUCUUUAUCAAAAUAAUUAUUGUGUUUAACUUUAAUGAGUUUUGAAGUUUGUAAUUUAGGAUUUUUAAAAUUUGUAGAAACUGGUUAACAUGAGCUUAGUUCAACGGAAACAUAUAUGCACAUGUGGCCAAGAGGUCCCCAAAUUCAAAUAUCACCACUUGCAUUAAAAAUUUGUAGAAGCUGUUUAUAAAUUUGGAAUUCAACGUUACAAAUGUUAGUACAAGAAUCAAUUAGCAAGGAGCUAAGGUGGGUGUGAGAAAAGAUGAACUCAAGAUCAUGAAGAUAAAGUCUCGUGUGCAUGUAGUGGCGGACGAUAAACUCCAAUUAACUAGCGAUUAUCAUUUUGAUAAAAUCUAAGAUUUUACUAUAUUUUACAAAUAUUUUUAACAAUUUUUUAAUUAACUAUCCAUUUCCUAAUAUUUAAAUAACUUUGCAUACUUCUUCAAAACUUUUAGAUUAAAUUAAAAAAAAAAAGUUAUAAAGAAAAAAGAAAGUUAGAAAAUGUCAGAAAAGUCAUGAAAAAAAGCUAUGGUUCACUCCACAAGUGACAAUUGCUAGAAAAUGAAAAACUGCCAAAAGGCAACAAAGGAAAAACACAGUUGCCCAACCUUUAUCAUAUAUAUGUAUCAGUUCUUUUCCAUCACUGUUUUGGACCAAUUAGUUCAUGAUUUAAAUAUGAAAAUACAAACACAAAAUGAGAAAAAAGGGGGGGUUCACUUCACGUGAAUCACUAAUGCCCACACCAUAACCUACUGCCCCAUCGUAAUUAAUGUAUUGUUACACACAAAAUCCCAAAACUUAAACAUCCUGUACUGUGCUAGAGGGUGACGGUGGGUAGUGCCAUUUGCCAACCCAAGCGGGCACCAAACAACGAACCCAACAUCGCAUCGCCCUUGUAAGCAGCAGUCUACUCAACAAAAUCCACAAGCUUCGUAUAAUAACCAUCCCCAGCCAAGUUUAAUUUAUUGCACUGAUAAGAAUCAGUACAAUCAGACAAACUGGAGGGGAGGACCAAAAGAGUUUACUCUAAAGAGACAAACCUAAUAGUAAUUGCUUCAAGAAUUUUGAUAUUUCAUUUGUAUUCAACCUUGGUACAACUUGCAAAAGAAACCAAACAUUUUUAAUGCUUACUUUGAAGUUUUGAGAAAUCAUUGAUACACACGUUUUAAUUUUGAGGAUUAAAAAAUGUAAUUUAUUCUGAAUUCUUCUAUCAAAUUAAAAUAUUAUUUAAGUUUUUUAACUUGCUUCCUGUUUUGACUCACAAACUUCCUCACAAAAAGUUAAAUAAUUACUCAACUCUACUAAUAUUGAAGUUUGUAUAUUGAUUGAAAAACUCUAUCAAUGAAUCCAAUUGUUUCCCCCGCCAAUGACAAAACUCGGGUGAUAUUCAUUGCUAAAGACAUGCUUUGAUGACCACUUCUAAUGUCUAACUUCAGAAGCACCUGUUGUUGAUGACCACUACUGCCCUAUUCCAACUACAAUGGUUUGAUGACCACCUCUGGCAGCAAACCCCAAUAUUUUACCACCUCCAACAAUCCUCUCCCGCGACCACCUCUGGCGUUCAACUCCGCUUAAGUACUACUACCUCCAACAACCCUACAUUAGUGAUCACCUACAGUGACCAACUGCGAGCACCAAGUUAUUGAUCAUCUUCAACAUUAACUCCCAAUGACCAUCUCAAUCAAUCAUAUACUAGAAAAGCAUGAUCAUUAGUGAAAGUGUUUUAUAAGCAUAAAAACAAUGGGUUAACAGGUACACCCAGAUCAUUUCCACUAGAUGAACAUCUCCUUUAACACUCUUAGCAUUCCUACUUUAUUGAUGAUCAAGAAAUACAAUACAUGAAGCAAGGAACAAGUAAAAAGGGCUAGAAAUAAGUCAGAACAAGAUCCUAAAAUUAUACAAAAGCUUGAAGAUUUACAACAAUAAAGCUAACAAUGUAAUUGUUAAAGAGAUUUGAUCUACUAUUCCAAUAUCUGGUGAGAGUUUGAAUGUCUUCCCUCCACCAUGGAACUAUUCUUAUUCUUGAAAUUUUUGUUGUUCUUCUCAAACCAAAUGGUCCAAAGGAACAAAUGAUGUUAAAAACAAUAGUAUCUAUUUUCCUUUUUUAUGCCACAGAUGUUCUUGCAUAAUGAAGCUAUAUUGUUCAUAAUGUUUAACAAUUGUCUUAUAUAGUAAUCUUACAUUAAUAUAAAUACUUUAAUUUGAGCAUUACAGUCAAACCAAGAAAUUGUGUAUGAAAACACUUCAUGAGAAAAUGAACCUAAUAACCCAUUUGUAUUUUUUAAAAAUAGUUUUUAAUUAUAAGAGUUAAAAAUGCAAAUGACUUUCUAAAAAACAUUUUACAGCUCAACCAUUGGAUACCACCAUGAUUGCAUCUUUUCAAAUGCUCAACUUCUUUCUUCAACCCUCAUUACAAGUAUAAACUCUAAUGAUUUUAUUUUUAUUUUCAUCCAAAAUGUCCUCUCGUAUCAUUCAAGAUAGUUAUCCUUUCAUAUAUACUCAUUGUUGCGAAAUCAACAAUUAAAUAAUAGAAGAAUAUAAAGAUCGACAUAAAAAGAUAUGUGUGGUUCAUUAACAGUGUAUUAGCUAUAUUCACGUAUAGAGAAAAAAACAAAUAUUAUUAGAGCGAAUGUUUUCACAAUACAAUAUAUGACGUCACUGGAUUAGAAAGUUUAUAUAUAUGCACUUCUCUAAACCUUAAGCUUAAAAUCAUAAAUAACAACAUAUGCACAUCUCAAUUGUUUAUUUAGUGCCACAUAAAGAACCCAAGAAGAACACCCAUGAUUAUGAUCCUCUCAUCCAUGCAAUGUGCGUGCGACUUCGAUCACAUUCCUAAUACUAAAAUAGAGGCAUAAUACACUGCAAUCUACAAUUUGACAUAAUGCCAUACAAAGUCCUAUGCCACCCCUUGAUGAAGUACUACGUUUUUUAUGCAUUUUACUUUGAUACAUUCUAAUUUCUACUAUUCAGAAAGUGUAAAUUUUUUAUGUUUAAUUUGUGUAAAAUAAUAGUAUUUUGCAAACCUCGAGUAGAAUGGUUACAUAUUUUUAGGAGAAUUGUGACUAGCUAGAGAGAGUCAUUAGGGUACAAUUAGUUUUACUCACAUUAUAAUUAUGGUCUUUUUUUAAUGAUCAAAUUACUUAAAUCAUAUAUAAUUAUAUGAUUUUUUAUCCGUCGUUGGGAUUAAUAAUUGGAAAAUUACAUCAAAUAACAAAAACAUUUAGAAAAAAAACAAUUCACGACACUAAUUAUUUUGCAUAUUGUGAAUAUAAAAAAAAAGAGUGAUAUCAAAUGAUUAUCAGACAGUAAUCGAAGGACUAUCAAACGAUGGUCAUAAGACUAUGAGACAAUCACCACUUUUAUAUUUGUUAAUUUUACAAAUUUAGAAAAUAGUGUGACAUGAACUCUAUUAUCAUAAAAAAAAUUCUAUUUUUGCAAAAGCCUCUUAAUAAUUGUGUCUCAUCAUCGUGAAAAUCAUCCUAAUUUAUCUAAUACAUUAUUGGAAGAAAGAAACUUUCAUAUUCUUUUUUCAUAGCUAUUCAUUAUUAAACAUGAAAAUAUAAAAGAUGGACAUUGGCAUCCAACAUAUUUACUAGAGCUAGUUAUAUAGUUUAGUAGUUAAGAUAUAUAUCUGUAUACUUUUAACCUCAAACGUCAAAGUUUGAUGUGAUUCCAACUCUACAAUUAUUGAAUUUAGAAAACAUGCAUAUAUACAUAGAUUAGAAAAAAGUAUAUAUUAAAAGCAUGAAAAUUUUUCCAUUGAUCUUGAAAUUGUAUAGAGUAAAUAAGGGACCUUGGAAGCCAUUUAGUAGCAUCAUUUUUCUGUCGUAAGCUUUAAGAAUUAAUACUACUUACUACUUGUUCUCUAAGUCAUCACGUCUCGGUCAUGUUGGCGAUUGCAAAUUGUUGGAAAAAUAAAUAUCAAUCAUUAUUAUGUUGUAUGUUGAACCACUGUCUUAGAAACAAAACUUUGGUCCAAUCUUAGUGCUAAAUCGCAUAUAUUGGUUGUUCCACAAGAUUAACACAUCUCUAUUGCUCUUAAUUUAAAUGUUUUUGUAUAAUCUACUUUUUCGGAUUGGUUUCUGACUUUGGAUCUCCCUUGGACUUUCCUCUAGUCCUUAUUUUUGCUUCCUUGCUUCAUGUACCUAUCGUUUAUUAUUAAUAGAACGAGAAUGAUGAUGGUGCUACAAAUGUGUCUACCUAAUGAAGAUGUUUCAGUGCAUCUGCUAACUCAUAUCAUAUUUUUUUAGAAAAAAACGUAUACUUCUCUAACUCACCGUGGAAUGGAAUCAAACAAAAUGUUACUCAAAACAAACAAAUGAAAGUUUCAAAAAAGAAGAACCACUCCCAUCACCAAAAUCUUUCUUCAAAUAUAUAUAAUAGUUUUAAAUCUAUAAUUUUUAGUGCAUUAAAAUAUAUUAUUAUAACCACAAAACCAUUAAAUAUUCUAAUAAUUAUCAUUGAAACAUUAGUUAUAAAUCAUUACAAUAAUAGUCAUUCAAUUACACAAAUAUCCUAAAACGAGGCACAAAUCAUUACUAUAUAAAUUCAACUCGUAAUCGUGGCAAGUAUUAAGAGCAUCUUGAAUCAUCUAACAGCAUUCUUCUACCCAUUGGUUGGGUGGAUCAAAAUCAGUUGCAAUAUCAACACAUCCUAAUAAUAUGUAAUCACUUGCAAUUGGUGGAGGUGGUUGAUCAGCAGUGACAAAAGAAAAGAAAAAAGAAGGUUGAGAACUGGAGAAGAAGAGAGCAAGUGAAGAGGUUUUGUUGGAAGAACCCAAAAGAGGAAAUUCUUAGAGAGAUAUUUUUAGAGGGGUGAAAAGAUCAGUGUGGUAAUUAUGGAAGGGUUUCUAUAGGGUCUUAAGAAAGAGGGCUGUGCAUGAGCGUCCUGGUGGAUAAACUCAUUGUUAAUUAAGUUAGGCUCAUUAUCUAUAUUAAUUGAUUUGCAAAUCUUUAUGAAGUGGAGAUUACAAUAUUUGUUGAUCAUAUUUGCUGUGAUUUCCACUAAAUUACUUUGUCUUUCAGUGUUAGUGUGAUUUAAAAUAAGCAGGCAUUCGGUAUUUUAAAACUCAGUUAUUCCUCUCAAGUUGCAAUGCUGAAGAUAUUAUUGAUGAACAUAACAAAGUUAAUUAGUGGGCUAACCCAUUUUCUAAGAUAUUGGGGAUGAAAAAAAAUAAUUUUAAUAAUAAGUAUGCAAAACCUAAUGGGAAUUUGACUUUUCUCCAUGUCCAAACCAAAAUUAUCUCUUUAUGAAAAGAAUCAUUAAAAAUAUUUUUUAUUGGCAAUGUCAUCCAACCAUUUGUAUUAGGUUAAUCCCGAACAACGAAAUUUUACGUUCACCCCAAACUUAAAUCGCUCUCAAAUUUUGUGAGUAGAGAUUUCUUGAUUUGCAUACUACUUCAAACAACAAAUAUUUCAUGAUUGACAUGACUUAUCAAAAAAGAGUUACCUUGACUUUUCAUGGCUAUCCAACGAAUUCAAAAACUGAAAAAUCAUCAUUUUUACGAGAGACGACUUACAUAUUUAAUUUGUUUAUCAAGGAAGGUAAUUUUCUUGACGAACGUGCACAUUCAAGGUAAAUAUGAACAUUUAUUGUAUAAAAAAGUAUUUUUUUUUUAUGGUCAAGAAAACUAAGUUUGUGUGCGUAAGAAAAACAAAAGUUUAAAUGAAACAAGAGCAUUUUGUCGGCCAUAAAUAAUACAUUACGUUACGUACGUAUACAAAAAGAAAUGUAGAAUUUAUGUCUUAAGUUAAGUUGAUAUAUAUUUUUGUACGGUAAAUAUGUGUGUAACUGUAGUGUUAAACCAAAAAUUAAGCAAAAAAUUUAGUCUAGUUUUAGGUCAACAACAAAUGGGAAACAAAGAUUUCUUAACUUCACUGUCAUAUUAAUUUCAGAUUUUAGAACUUUACUCAAUUGGUCACUUAGAAGGCUACGUUUUUUAUUUUCUAUAAAAUAAAGUAAUGUAUUUCAAUAUGUCCUUUCUUUUAUUAUCCACAAAUAAGUUGAAUUGUCCACUUGUCACUCACACAUAAGAUAAAAUAGACAAAUGUUAUCACAUUUAGAAAAGGUAAGAUAUGAUUGUACGUGUAAUCUUGUAAGAUAUGUCGUUUGUGUUUCAAUAAUUAUUCAUGGAAUUCAAAUAAUUAACUCAUCACGUUUCUUGUGGUUCUUAAUUAUAUAAAGUUUUCUUUCUGUCCCAUUGAUUAAAUUACAAAUGUACUAUAUCAUAUAAUUGAUCUCUAAUCACAUCAAUAAUAUGUAAUCAAUUUUUUUAAUUUCUAGUGUGAAGUAUCUUUGGUAUAAUUUCUUUUUUUUUUAUCAUUACUUUAGUUUAUUUAAUUAACAAUAAAUUAUGAAGAUUAAAAAAAUAUCUAACUUUUGAAACAAACGUAUAAGUCAGCUUAAAUAAUGUUACUCUCUAUAUUAUCAAAAGUAUUAAUUCAAUGUAAUGUUCACACCCAAUCGUUCAUGCCAUUAAAUCUUAGUUCGCUUUAAUAAUUGGAUUAUGUUUGUGUGAACGAAAAAAACUGAACUGAGUUUAAGAAAGAAAAAAGUAUUACGAAAAAUAUCAUCUAUAUAUAAAGAUUUGUCGGUAUAUAGCAAAAAAUAUAUCUUGCGAACAAAUUUUAAGUUUAAUCUACUGUAGCCUUUAAACUUAGAUUUAGGUUGGAAAUACGCUCAAAAUCUUACGGCGGUUAAAUAAUAUGAGUUUAUAAAGGAAGAUACAAUUAUUUCUAGUGGUUAUGAACUUUUUAGAAUGUGAAACUCAAAAGAAAGUCUUGAAGAAAGUCGGUCUAAAAGUUGAUAAUAUCAUAUCAUUAGAGUAAUAUCUGACAAUUUAAAUAUUAUUUUUCAAUACAAUUUUGAGUUUAUUUAUUUAUUAUUAUUUUGUAUUUUAAAACUUUCUAAGGCCCCAAAUUAAACUACGUAAAGCUAAGCUUAGGUUUUCAAUAAUCCUUCCUAACUCUUUUUUUCACUAUUCCACGUCUCUUUUUCAAUCAUUUUCAAAUUUUGAGAGAUGGAUCCCACACGUCAUUUUCCACUUUUCUACAUUUUCCCAAUUUCCUUUUCUCUCUCUUUCUUAAUUUAUUUCUUUAUAACAUCCUUUCUUUUUCUAUUUUAUUCCUUUUUUUCCUUUGUUGUCUCUUUCCUUCUUUUUUUUUUUUUCCUUCAUUUUCUUUUUCAUUCUUUUUUUUUUUCCUUUUUUUUCUUCUUAAAAUAUAUAUUUAGAGUGUGUUUGGAGUGGAAAUUUACGACGAUUAGAAAAAUGAUUAUAUGGCUCAAACAUUGUAUGGGUCAAGGUUUUCCAUUUUUGAGGAUUAGGGUUAAAAAACCCUAUAAACUAUCAUACUUUAUCUUUUCAUAACCCUACAAAUUUUCCUACUUCACCUUUUCAUAAUCCUACAAAUUUUUCUACUUCAUCUUAUCAUAAAAUUACACUCAUAACUCUUCUCCCAAACACUUGUUAUAAUAACACUACAAUUAUAACCCUUUCCCCAAACGUAUAUUAUCAUAAUACUAUAACAAUAAUCUUUUCUCCAAACACAUAUUAUCAUAACACUACCAUUCAUAUUACUUCUCCCAAACACAUAUUACCAUAAUACUACCAAUAAUAACCCUAACAUCAAACAUAUAUUAUCAUAACACCAUCAUAAUCUUUUUUUCCCAUAACUCAUUCCCUCCUCCAAACGCACACUUAAAGUUUAUUUUGUAGACUUUUUCACUUCCUAUAUAUGAAUUAUAAUUGUUCUUUUUCCAUUGUUUACUCGUAUAUUCAAUAACUCUUCUCUUUACAUUUUAUUUUUAUUUGUUUUAGUACAAUAAUUUUAAUAAUAUAAGUUUGUAAUUAUAUGUUUUCUAUUACAUGGGCACACAAAAAAAAUAAAUUAAUGAAAACUAACGAUUCAAGCUAAAUUUAUGAAAUGAGUUUGAACGUCACAAUUAAGAAGAUUAAAAAAAUUAAUUUGAAGCAAAAUUUUGUAUUUCAUAGAAAAUAUAUAUGCAUAAAAAAAAAAAAGAUUAGUGCAAAAGAAAGAUUGAAGCUUAAUUUAUGAUAUAGACGUAGUAAUUAAAAAACUUUUUUCAUUCUGAUGUACCAUAUAUAUGCAUGCAAAAAAAAAAAUGGUAAAAAGUAACAAUUAAUAAUAGCAGUUUUAACGUUGUAAUUAUGAUGAAUAAGGAAAAUGUGUUUUAAGAAAAAUAUUGCAUUUCAUGAAAAAUAUAUGUGGCAUGGAAAGAAAUAUUAGUGAAAAUGCAAGAUCCAAGCUUAAAUUAUUGCUAGGAAUCUUGUAAUUAGAAGCUUACUUAAUUCGAUGUACAUUAUAUAUGUAUGAAACAUCACGAUUGAUGCUACAUUUAUUGAAUGAAUAUCAUAAUAAAAAUUAUUUAAUAAAAUCAAUUUAUGAAAAUCGUGUAUUGGAUCUACAAUAUAUAUUUUAGUGAAAAAAAUUUAUAAAAAACCUAGAUUGUAAUAGUCUCCACCCAAAAUACACAGUUUAUAAUAACACAUAUUAUUAUCAUAUAUAAAACACAAAUUAUCAUAGUCUACAACCCAAAUGCAGACUAUCAAAACAGAUUAUAAUAGUGUAUGCGCUCCAAACGUAGACUAUCAUAAUACUAGAACUAUCCUAAAUCACUCGCUCCCUAACGUCCCUUUAAAUAUAUGUAUGAAAAUUUUGUUUUUUAAUUAAUUGAUUUAGUUUUUUUUUUCUUUACUUGUUUUAGGUUUUUCUUUUAAUAUUAUCAAAAUAUCUAUUUAAUCUUUUAAACUUUAAAACAUUGGCCAUUGGGUAGCAAUUUUAAUUUUUAGUUUUUUUUUUUUUAAAAAAAGCUAAAAGCAUUUAAACAUUCUUUCCCUUUUUUUUUAAUCUUUUAUCUACUUCUUUACCAAUAUUUUAACAAUCCAAGUUAAAUCUUGAAAAUUAAAAAAAAAAUUGUAAUUUCUUUCGCAAAUAAUUUAACUAUUAUACAUAAGAAUAUGCAAAUUAUGGUAAAGAAUUUGAAAAUAAAUAUUCUUAGUUAAAAAAAAAAAACAAAAGUAAAAAGAUUAUAGAAUAAAGUCUAGUACAUUUUAAAAAUAUCUCACACGUAUAAUAGAAAUAAGAAAAGUACUUACAUGCAUCUUAGACAUUUUACUUAUGUUUCGUACAUUCCACCAAAUUGUCCAAUCAUAACUUAUCAUAUACCAAAUUUUGCUAAUUUUCUUUUCUUUUAGUAGAGUAUUUUAAUAUGUUUUUAUGUAAAUGGUAAGAAGGGAUGUACAAAUUAAAUGAAAUGCACCUAAGCAUACUUACUCUAUACUAAAUAUUCCCCCAACUUCAAUCAACCCAUGCCAACUUUCAAUACACGACCUAUGCUACGAGAAGAUUUAAAAUAAGGGGAAUGGUUUCGAAUACAGCAAAAAUGAACUAAAAUAUUUAUAAAUUAUAGCAAAUUUUUAUAUUCUCUAUCAACUACAGACACUCGUAGUCACUAAUAGAAGAUUAUCAAUAGUUAUGGGUGUCUACAAUUCAUAGAAUAAUUUAAAAUUUUGUUUUAUUUUAUAAAUAUUUUCACCAAUUUUAUCAUUUACAAUAAUUUUUUUUAAAAUAAACAUAUUUAAAUAUGGGAAUAAACUUUGAAUAAUGUAUAUAUCUCAAAAAUGUUUCCACUCUAAAAUUUUUAGUUUCAUUCCAAUUCAAUAUCUUAAAGUUCAAUAAUUGUUACAAACUUUACCCUAAUUUAUUCAAUCUCUAGCAAAUUUAAUUUAUUCAAUCUCUAGGAAAACAUGUCUCUCAAAAAAAAAAAUCAAAUAACACAAAAGAAAAAAAAACAUCCAUAAUUCAUUGAAUUAUUAAAAGCAAACAAACAUUACACCAAACGAAGCCUGCAUAAGAUCAAAUUAAUCGAUCAAAUUCGACUGAAUCAAUAAAAAAACAGAACUUUAGAGCCCCGUUCAGUCAUUAUUCAAUUUUUGGCUUCGAAAAUUUUGCAGUACCAAGUGACAGUUUAAGAAUAUGAUAAUCAUACGUUUUUUUUCCUUUUGUAGAUAUGACAAUUUUUAGUGUGUCAAAAAUAUGAAGUGUAUCGUAUAUAUCAAAGGUGUAUUUUUGUUUUUACUCCCAUCAAUUUUAUAGUGGAGAUAUGCUAAAUUCACAUCAUAAUUAUACUUUUCUAACUAUGAAUUAUAAAAAUAUAUUAAAAGGUAAAAAGUAUAAUAGUUCACACCUUUCGAGGUUUGUAUUCAAUUUAAUUUUUCAACUGACCACUAUAUCAAUUUAAAUUUUAAAUUUUCAAAAGUGUAUUUCUUCUUAAUCAAAAUAUUGUGUUAAACUUUAUUGAGUUUACAUUUGAAAAUCAUCAAAACAUUUAAAAUCCUACACAUGUGCAUGUAGAUGUUUUCGAUCGUCGAAUUAAUAAAAUGAACUAUUAAACAAAAUUGAUAGAUGGAUAAAUUUCAAACAAAAUGUUGAAAAGUAUUCCAAAUUGAUUCGUGAAGAAAGUUUAAGCAUUUAAUCAAUAAAAUUCAAAAACAAAACAAAACUCUUGAAAAGUGUAGGAAUAUAAAUGACUAUUUUUACAAUAAUAUUAUAUUGUUAGACAAAUCCAUAGAUAGUGUAUAUACUAUGCUUAUACUUCCAUCGUUUAUUAUUUGGUGGUAAAGGCACCAUGGAAUUGUGUAGAUAUCAAAUAGAGUGAAAAUCUUUUGUUGGAAACACUUUUUCAUAAUUACCUCAAACAACAAUUGAUGGAUUCAAAGGAAAAGAGGCAAUAAUGGUGGUGGAGGGGUAAUAAUUCCAUCAAAUAAUUAUAUUUCUUUAGUGCAUUUCCUUUAGUUGUAUUUUGAUAAUUAAUGGAAUGAUUAAUUAUUAUGCUCAAUACCUUUUUUUUCAUACCAUAAUUAAGUUUGGUCUUGCAUUAAUGAUAAAGUUUUGAAUUGUACAUGUAUGAUGAUUUUUAACUAUUGUAUUUUUUAAUUUUGUUACGGUACAACUAUGGUGGAUGGUUAACAGUUAAAUGAUGUUAGUUCUUAGUUCAUAAUCAACAGGAAGCUAUUAGAUUAAAUUACGAUAACGAUUUAAUGGUUGGAAAGACAAUUUUGGAAUACAAUGGUGGUAGUUUAUAUGUAGCCAACAUCAUAUAUUUUCAAGCUAAGUUUAAAUAAUGGAUGAAAAAAAUGUUUCAUAGUCCAUUUUAACUUGUCAUUCCUAUAAACUAAGAAAACUCCAUUAUCAUUGUCUCUUCUUUCUUUGUUAAAAUACAACUCAAUUCACAUCAUGAGAAAAAAUGGUUAAGUCAUAGAGAUUAGGAUCAAACCAUGGGGACUGUUUUUAAGGUUUUAUAUAAAAAAAGAGCUGACAGAAAAAAUAGCAAAUUAAUUUACUGGUUUAUUUUAGAUAAAUGACAAAAUUUAAUUUAAAUCGAUAAUAUAGCAAAAUUGUUAAAAAUGAAAAGCAAAAAAGCUGCAAAAAGACGGUGAAAAAAACCCAUCACAAAUAUAAUUAUUUCAAAACCCAAAAUACCUUAUAAUUGAAUUAGACUCCUGACUAUUACCAAGAUCGUUUCAACUUUCUCUCUAAUUUUACCCUACCAAAACUAUCGAACCAAUUAAAAGCCAUAAAAUUUCAAUUUUCCCUCAAACUCAGUUCGUCUACCCUCAUCUCCAUUGAAGUCAAUUUCAAAACUUGAAGUAAAGUGUCAGCUACUAUAACCUUUGAAAGAGCAGUGAUAGUUCACAAAAAAUCCUCUCAACUAAAAGAAAGACAUCCAACUUCGAUUUCUGCAAAAACAAAGUUUGUUUUGCCUUUUCUUCUUUUGUGUUCUCCUCUGAUUCCUGCAGCUUAGUUAAAUUGAUGGUUAAUAGCACAGUGUCAAUUAUCUUGAUGGACCGAUGCAAUCAGUCAUCCACUCCACCAUAAAUUGACUGUAACAGUAUCCAUUGAAUUUCUCCUCUAAAAAUAUCAACAUGCAUAAAAAUAUUUAAAUUUCACAAAAACAUGGGUGUUAUGGCCUAUUUUUCUCAAAAUGUUUUUUUUUGUCGGAUAUUUCUCAAAUUUAAAGGAACCUUGGGCCUUGGGCCUCCUCCCCACAAAAAUCUCGUUGGGCCAUAAACGAGUUACCCACUACCCAAGGCGUCCACUUUAUUCAUCGGAGCUCAGGUUGCAUGAACCGCGGAGCUCCGUCCAUCAAUGGCCAUCAACAAGCCUCCUCCUACUACAAAUUCCGACAACGAACGCAUCGUUAUUGGAUCUGCCAUAGCCUCACGGCUUCUUCUACUCUUCUUAAUCGUCUUCUGGCGUUUUCUCCUCAGCCCUUACGACACUUCAGCAUCGCUUAAUCCUUCAUGCUUAAUCAACCCAUCUUCUUUACCCCUCACCCAACAACCAGUUCUUUUUCCUCAAAUUGGCUCCGCCAUUGAGAGCAGCAUUGUCUGGGAUGGCGUCUACUUCGUCCGAAUCGCUCAGUGCGGUUAUGAAUAUGAGAAAUCCUACGCCUUCUUGCCCCUUCUCCCUUUCUGCAUUUCCCUCCUGUCCCGCACAGGUUUGCUAUUUAUACUUCAUUUCGUUGUUUAUUCCAUUGUUAUUUUUAUUUUAUUGGUUAUUAUGUAGAAUGAUCGCUUCUUACAUUUUACUUGGGUGGCUUAUGAACAACUGCCGAUGUGCUUCGGGGAUUAAUUCAUUUUUUGUGUGGUUAAUGCGGUUCUAAUUUUGGUACAGUAUUGUUGCCUUUGGUUCCGGUAAUUGGGCAUAGAGCUGUAUUGGGACUGUCUGGAUAUCUAAUUAAUAACAUUGCUUUUGUCCUUGCUGCACGUUAUCUUUUCAGGUGGGUUUGUUGAGAUUACGAGUUUUUGGCCUGUAAUUCUUAGGUUUAUACUCUGAUUUUUCAAAUGGGUAAAUAGCCAUUCAUCUGCUUUUGUACUUUCUUGCUUUUAUUCUAUGUAAAAUCCUGACAUCUUCUACCUGGUCGCUGUAAUAGGCUUUCACUUAUUAUUUUGAAGGAUGCGGAAGCAGCAAUGCGGGCUUCAGUUCUGUUUUGCUUCAAUCCUGCUUCUAUAUUUUAUUCAUCAUUGUAAGUGACUUUUUCUUUCCUAUAUCACUAUGGGCGUAAAAGGUUUUGAUGGUGAUGGACUAUACUUGCAAUUGUAGAUAUACUGAGAGUUUAUACUCGCUAUUUUCAUUGGGUGGAUUAUAUCACUUGAUGAGUGGUAGAAGUAGUGUUUCUGCUCUGUGGCUAGCUCUUUCUGGCUGUGCUAGGUCCAAUGGAGUGCUUAAUGCUGGUUACAUCUGUUUUCUGACUAUGCAUUGGGCUUAUGAUGCUCUUUUUCUGAAGAAAUGUAUCCGUGUAAGUAUCCUUUCUAAUUAAUUGAUAAUGAGUUUUAUAAUGUCUGUUUGUUAAGUUAUCUUGGUUGAGAAGUAAUGCAUUUCUCUAAUUGUUUGUGUUUCUGAUUUAUUGGUCAAAUUUCUCUUUUGAGUUUUCCUUUUGUGAUGCAGAUUUCUUGUGCUUUUAUACAAGACAGAAUCGAGUUGUUUUGUAAUUAUUCUCUUUUAGAUAUUGGUAAAAGUUGGAGUAUUUUUAUGUAAGCUCUUAGGCAAUUUUGAGGAGAACUCAUCUGCUCUUUUAUGCUUCAUUUUCUGAUGGAGUAGGUCCUUUUACCCUUCUUUUUACUAGGAGAUUUCUUUGGAAAGUUGGGCUCUUGAUUAUUUUGUAGUAUAUUUGGUCAGAGAGAAAUAGAAGAGUUAAGGUCCUUAAUCAAAGUGGCUUUAUUUAAAAGAAAAAAAAAAAUUUAGAUAGACAAAAUUUCACAUUUAUUAGAAGAAAAGUACAAGAGACGGUGGACAAAAGCUUCAUUUAGGAAGGAACUUAAGAAAAAGCAGUCCUGUAUUGUUUAACUAUGAUAAACAAAAAGGAAGUUGAAGAUGUAAUGUUCUAACUUUGUUUCAUGGUCAGCAAUGUAGCAUUAAUAAUAGUUUAUUAUUUAUUCCAGAAGGGACUGCAGGUUCUCAUUUCUGGAGCCCUAAACUGUGUCUUUAUAUUUGCUCCAUUCAUUGGAUUUCAAGCAUAUGGGUAUUACAAUAUUUGCAGUGGACGGAUACCAGAAGAAAUGAGGCCAUGGUGUAAAGCUAGGGUACCGCUGCUAUACAACUUUGUUCAAAGUCACUACUGGUAUUGACUUUUUAACUUGCCCAGUAUUCCAAACUUUAUAUCAAUAUUCUGUAGACCAUAGAUGACUUCGUAAUUAUUUUCAAAAUCUUUAGAUAAUCCUGUAAUUCUAGGGUUUCUCAUAUAUAAAUGUUUGAACUUGAAAUAGUUUGGAAGUGUAGGAACUUGUCGACAGAGAGAAUUAGGUUACAAGAAUCAGUUAUUAAUCUAACUAUCAAUUUGAACAACUCAGUAUCCCAACUCUAGAGGAUACUAAUUAUACUUUACAAGUGAGAAAAAGAAAUUAUAAAUUUUAUCAAUGAAGAGAAUUUUACAAAGAAUGAGUCUGUCAAGACUCGACAGGAUAAAGUUUCUUCUCUCUGAAGGAAGAGUUAUGAAGAAGAAUAGGGUUCCAAUCACUGCACAAAAAUUCUAAAGGAAUCCAAUUCAUAACAUUGCAAAUGCAAAGUUAUAGACAGCUUCCUAACAUCCCCUGAUACUGACAGGAUGAAUAUGUUAGAUACCUAGAUUAGUAUAGGGCUAAAGGUAGUUAGUUAUGUAGGCAGUUAGAUGGUUAUAAAUAGGAAGUUGGGGAGGGAAGAAAAGGGAGAUUAGUUUUGUGGGUAGUUUUUCUGCACUCUUUCUUGUUCUUAGUUAGUUUCUAUAUUUUCAUUUCAUAUCAAAUUUUUUUUGUAAUAGUGAGUUUAUAUCAAUUGAACAAGAACACGUUUAUUGGUGUUCCAUCAGAAUAACAAUCACAUCCUGAUGCUAUCAUACUCAUUAAGGAAGCAGUGAGAUUAUGUGGCUUCCCACGUUCAAUUAUCUCUAAUCGUGACAGGAUAUUUGUGAGACUUUUGGAAUGAAUUGUUUAAGAUACAAGGAACCCAACUUCAAAAAAACGCCACCUUCCAUGUUUAGAUGGACGAACUAUGUGAGAUUGUCAACAAGUGCUAGGAGAUCUAUGAAGAUAUUGAAGAAAAUGAUUUGUAAGAACAUCUUUUGAAUUUUCUUUUGUUACAUGUCAGGAACCAUGCGAUUUUGGUAAGUUGAAAGGGUGGGAUACUUUGGUUGGGUGUGAAGUAGGACCAUUUCCUUCUUCAUACUUGCAUCUCCAUUUGAGCCACAACCACAAGAUUUGUUUUUGGGAUCUCAUAUUGAGUUAUUGUGAGUAAGAUUCAUAAGAGACUCGUCUUGGAAAGAGCUUUUUCUUGAAAGGUGGUGGAUUUACACUCAUUCUAUUUGCGGAGUUCUCGAAAGAGGUUGCAACGAGAUGGUUGAGAAGUUCCAUCUCAAUCCUUCUUUUUCAUGAGAAUGAAAGGUUUUUAUGGUGAAUCGGGAUGUGUGCAGUCUUGUGGGACUUCUGGGGAGUGCAGAGCAAAGCUUGAGAGAUCGUUGAGUGAUGUUUGGUUUAUUGCUAGUUCUAACGUUUCUUCAUGGGCCUCAAGUCUAUUCUUAUGUGAUAGAAGGCCCUUGUUUUAAAUUGUCCACUUUUAAGGAGCUUUACUUUUUGUAUCCUCUUGUAUUAUUUCAUUCUCUCUUAAUAAAUCCUCUGUUAUAAUCCUCUGUUAUUCAUUAUAUAUAUAGAUAGGUAGAGUCUAAUUUUAAGAGCUUUAUUUUUUUGGGGGUUUUUACAAAAAUAACAAAAAAAUUUAUGAUAAUAGAGUUUAUGUCACAACAUUUUCUAAAUUCUAAAUUUGCAAAAGUAGCAAAUUUAAAAGUGAUGACCUCUGAUAGCCAUAUGAUUGUCGUCUGAUAGCCUUAUGAUUACCGUCUAAUAGUCGUCUAAUAUCACUAAUUUUACCAUAUUUGCAAUAUGCAAAAAAUUGAUGUCAUGAGCUUUUUUUUUCUAAAUAUUUUUGUCAUUUGAUGCAAUUUCCCUUAUUUUUUUAUGCUCUUGAUUUAUUUCAUUUCUGCUCAAUAAAUCCUCUGGUAUUCAUAUAGAUAGAUAGAAUAUAACUUCAAGUUUUUUUGGACACUCAAAUCGGAAAUUAAGGCUCUGGUAGUUUUCAAAGAAGCAGGCGCACAGGAAAAGAAAGCAUGUAGAUUUAAUUGUUUAUACAAUUGGGAAAUAUCAUUCGAUUUUCAGUAUUCCUUACAAACUAUUGUGAAAAGACAAUACGUUAGAAAUGUUUACUUUGUUUCAGAAAUUCAUUAUAAACCUCUUUUCAGAUUUUAUUAUUUAUAUUCUAAUUGAAAUUGCUAUGCUCUUUUUUUAACAUCUUGCAUACGUCUUUUGGGAUGGCAGGGGAGUAGGUUUCUUAAAAUACUUUCGAUUCGAACAGCUACCAAACUUUCUACUUGCAUCCCCAAUUUUGUCUUUGGUUUUUUUCUCAAUUCUCCACUACGGAAAGUCAAAGACAAAGCUUUUAUUCUCGGUGGGUUUCCAACCAAUGGAUGAUGAUAGAAAUUCUGCUGCCAUGCUUUACUUUCCAGAACGUGUUUCAAGGUCAAGCACACCUCAUACUACAUCUUCCUCUGGGUUACAAGGUAAUGCUUAUUUUUCAAUGGUAAUGUAACAAGAUUUUGUGUUGUAUGAGUAGGUAUAAGUUUUGAAAUUGAGUAGUAUCUUGUCUUGACUUUCCUUGUCAUUUUGUUUUGUUGCAAUUUUUAAAGCACCUUAAGCUAUUAUUUCAUAGGAAAUCAGAAUCUUAGACAGAGAAAGAAGAUUUUUGUACAGGAUCCUGCUGAGCUUGCAGUAGAGGAUAAACCGUCCAAUGGGUCAGGAUACUUUUCUGCUCUUGUACUUCCAUUUAUCCUACAUUUGGGGUUUAUGGCUGCCACAGCAUUUUUUAUCAUGCAUGUACAGGUUUGUCUCCUCUCCAUAAUUUGUACUUUUUUCAAAAGAAUAUGUACAUGGUGUGUGCUGAAGAAUAUCAUUUGCUUGCUUUCUGUUAUUUCAGCUACGAGUCAGCAUUAUUGUUUGCAUUAUAAAUCUAGUUUCAAUAUAUAUACAUAUAUAUAUAUAUAUACACAUUAGCAGCUGUUGAAGACAACUAUCAAGUAAUUUUUGAGUUUGGAACCCUCUGGUCCUAUGAGGCAAUAGUUCUCAAGUUAUUCCUUAUAAAUACCGAUAAAUAGUCCAUAUGGUAUGAAUUGUGUACGAGAAUUUUAUCAAACCAUUAGACUAUUUGUGAGAUUUUAUUAAAUCAAAUGGAUUAAAUUCCAAUUAUAAAUCAUAGGGACUGAAUUCUAAGUUUCUCCAAACGAUUCGAACCAAAUUUGCAAUUUAACCCUAAAACUAUGGUUCAUGUUGUAUGGACAUUACAUAGUUAAUUUUCUAUAUUUUAGAGAGUAAUAUUCAGCAUAAGCCUCUUCUGUUAGAAGCAUAAGUUAUUCAAACCCUAGCAAAUAGCAAAACAAAUCCAUAAAAACAUUCUAAGUUCCAUGUCUUGUUUUUAAGCUUAGUAUCUCAGAGUUCAGAAUUCAACAGGUUGCAACACGAUUUCUCUCUGCAAGCCCUCCUCUCUAUUGGUUUGCCUCAUACAUUACAGUUAAGCGAUGGAGAUAUAUUAUCUGGGCAUACUCUAUCGCAUAUAUCCUCCUCGGUAGUCUGCUGUUUUCAAAUUUCUACCCAUUCACAUGAUUUGUUGCAGCAAAACAACACUUUAGCUUUGGUAUCGAAUCAUCUUGGUUGCUGAUGAUCGUGCUAUUGCUUCAUAGUCCACACUGUUUUGGAUGAGAAAAAAUGUUUAGAACAAGAGCCACAAAGUUCGUUAUAGUUCAUGUAUUAGGGGAGUUCUUCGAGUAGAAGUUAUUUAAGUAAUUUAAAGAAAUUUUGUUCACCUUGUAUGUAAUAAUUGACUUAAUGAGGGUAAUUGUUGAUUACCAAGUUGUAUAAUUGCUUGUGUUUCAGGUUGCUUUUAGGUACUGUCUUCAAAUACAAAGCUUUCCUAACUAUUCAAAUGUUCCAUUUACAAUUUCUUCUCCUUUGUUUAUAUGUAAAUAUUUGGUUAGUUUUAGCUUUUGAAUUUCACUUUUAAGUUUAUUUUAGUCACAAACUUUUAGAGAAAUGUAUUUUCACUUUUAAAAAGUGAUUAUUUCAAUUCCGUUCUUUUAACAUGAGACUUUAUUUGCGACAGUUCUUAAAAUAAAACCAUAAACUGAUAAUAAAAAUUUUGAACUGUGUCAAAUUUAGGUUAAAAUUUUGUAACUUUGGAUCAAAACAGUCACUUUUUUAAAGACUAAAACAACAAUUUAAACUUUUUUUUUUCUACUUAAGUUUAGUAGGAGAAUGUUGAUUAUUAGUAACUAUAAUCCAAGUCCAACGACAAUGGUUAGAUGUCAUUUUUAAAUACUCGUCAAUCGAAUUGCUGCUUUUGUUUACAGAUUUAGACAAUGGUCUCAUGUGUCAAUACAAACUAAGCAUAAUCAAAUGAAGCUCAAUUUUUAAAUUACAAUUAAUUCAUUCUCAUUGCACUUAGUAAACAUGGUCUAGAUGCCGUCUUACUACUUUAUAGAAAUGAUGAUUAAAAAUGGUUAGUGAUAGUCUGACCAAGUCCAUCUAAAGUUUCAUAACUAAAUUUCAUAAAAUUGAAACCUUGAUGUCGAUUAAAUAACCUAGGCCUAUCAUAAAACGAUCACAAUGAGACAUUUCUUCUAAAAGCAAGUCCCUAUCAACAUUAGAGAUGGAUUAGUUUCAACUUUCAAACACUGUACAAAGAAGUUGAGAUACAAUAAUACAAAGAGAUCAAGAAAUAUCUCAAACAGAGGGACCAGAUCUGAGCACUCUCUCCAGUUUCUCAGCUUUUGUGUAAUCAUUUUCAUUGAGAGGCCCAGCAGGGAAUGGAGUUAUUUCCACAAUAAGAUGUGGGGUUGGAAGCUCAUCAAACAAAGCUCUCACAUUGUUGCAACAAACACUCUCCCCAUGAGCACUUUCCCUCCUGAUUUGACAACCCUACAAAUCACAAACCUCUACAUUGUGAUGUCUUUGAGAAUAAUCAUGCAAUUGAGCAAAAAACGGAACGGUUUGUGUGUGUGAAGAGUGAACAGGAUGGAUAACAAGCAUGAUGUGGAAUGGAAAUGGAGGAAUGAAUAAUUCUAGGAUUGUGAUUAGAUUUAGAACCUUGUGAGAUGUGGCAUCAACGAAGUGAUCGUCGUCGGAAAGGAGGGACAUGAUGGCUUUAAGAAGACGCCGUCCUUCGGAUUUAGAUGGCACUCGAUAGUUCCUUCUGAGGGUUCCCUUUGUGGUAGGAUGCCAUUUGCUCACUAGUUUUCUUUUAUCAACUGCUUCAUCCACUGUCAACAAACACAAGAAAGUAUGAUUCAUUCAUCCACUGCCAAUUCCAGAGGUUGAGGAAAGAAAACACUGAAAGGGAUUAAAACAAAUUCCUUUAACCACACUUUUUAAUUUCAUAUACAAAACUCUAAUUUGCUUGUAUCGUUCCAAAUUCCAAUUUUAUCAGAUGUCUCCAAAGGGGCGAUACAAAACUCUAAUCUAGAUAUAUUAUACAAUUCAACAGAGCUACAUAAGGUGUAAAGAAAAGAAUCAAAGAAUACCAGAUAAUUAGCAUACUAAACUCUAGGAUCAAAUUAAACAAAAUGUUGUAAGCAGAGUUGUUCAAUGUUUAUAAGUAUUCCAUGUUUAUUAGACUAAUAAACAUGGAACAACUCUAGAACAUUCACAAAGAUCACUGAGAAUUAUAGAUGGUCUGCCAAACCUAGCAUUCAAGACUUUCUUUUAUAGGAAACAACUAUAUUACAAAAAGAAAACUCUAUACAAGAGAUCCCCAUCAAAUAGAGUAGCAAAGUGCCUUCCAACCCAGCAUUCAAGAUUCAGCAGAAGAAUGGAUUAACAAAGCCCCAAAGUAUUAGUUCCAACAAUGUUUACAUUCAUAACUUAACUGCUAAAACUUUUUCUAUUAAUCUUUCGUACCCUAUCAAACAAAAAGAAGUCAUUCAAUGUCAACUACAUAGCUAAUGAUUAUUGAAGCUUCAGCCAUAUGAUUUGUAGAAUUUUAGUCCCUUGUUUCAAUUCAAAAUCAAAACAAAAGGCAACGUUGAUCAGUGAAUUCUUCAGUUAAUGUAUCCUUCAGUGUAUUCUAACAAACUAUGCUCAGUUUGGUAAGUUG
This 86494-nucleotide long non-coding RNA is filed under the name Cucumis sativus (cucumber). Its description in RNAcentral is "long non-coding RNA (CSAT_LNC000415)". Lineage: Eukaryota; Viridiplantae; Streptophyta; Magnoliopsida; Cucurbitales; Cucurbitaceae. The record is from RNAcentral.